AUGAAAAACGUAUAAUUGAGAAUUAAGACAAAUUACUUACAUGUGAAUGUAUAGGCAAAAGCGACCAUUCUUCAUAAGCUCUUCAAUAAUUUCUUCAUGUAACGGAUCCUGAAAAAUCCACAUUGUUUGAAAUCAAGUUGUGAAUUAAGACUCUAUGCUCUCUCUGUUAUGAACAUAUCUAGACCACCAGUCCUAAUAAAUAUUAUUUGGAGAACUAAUCUAUGUUAAUAUGGCAAUCUACAUGUUCAAUGCAAAAUAUUAACUACAGAUUUUUACAAAUUUACUGCUCAUAUUCACUAACUAUCCAGAAGAAACAGUUUGGUGGACGAUUUAAUAGGCCUCCCAUAAUCAAAACAGAAUGAAAAUUUUACAGUACCUAUCUGUAUGUUCCUAGAAUAUAUCCACCAAAUUUCAACUCAAUCGGACUCCAUUUACUAUGUCUACAGAUUUUUACAAAUGUACUGCUCAGAUUCACUAACUAUCCAGAAGAAACAGUUUUGGUAGACGAUUUAAUAGGCCUCCCAUAAUCAAAACAGAAUGAAAAUUUUACAGUACCUAUCUGUAUGUUCCUAGAAUAUAUCCACCAAAUUUCAACUCAAUCGGACUCCAUUUACAUGUCUACAGAUUUUACAAAUUUACUNNNNNNNNNNNNNNNNNNNNNNNNNNNNNNNNNNNNNNNNNNNNNNNNNNNNNNNNNNNNNNNNNNNNNNNNNNNNNNNNNNNNNNNNNNNNNNNNNNNNNNNNNNNNNNNNNNNNNNNNNNNNNNNNNNNNNNNNNNUUCAUAGGCCUCCCAUAAUCAAAACAUAGUGAAAAUUUUGCAGUACCUAUAUGUAUGUUCCUGGUAUAUAACCACCAAAUUUCAAUUCAAUCGGACACCAUUUACCAUGACUACAGAUUUUUACAAAUUUACUGCUCAGAUAAGUGAAAACGUCCGACAUAAUCAGUUCGAGGGACGAUUUCAUGGGCCUCCUGUCAUCGAACUGUAAUGAAAAUUUUACAGAAUCUAACAAUAUGAUCCUAGUAUAUAUUCACCAAAUUUCAUCCACAAUAGAAGAAAAACCCACCUCUAAACCUUGGCGACAAGAACGGAGGCACGGCAGCAAGAACGGAGGCACAACGGCGAGAAUGGAGGCACGGCGGCGAGGAAACUAGUUGCUCCUGCUCGUCGGCGGUGUCUCACGGUCUUGGUUUGGUUGAGAGAGAGAGGCACGGUAGUGAUAAUAUUGUGUCUUUCUUUGGUGGUAGUGGUAGGGUUUGCGAGGGUGGGGCACCAUAAGUAGAGAAGAGGAGACACGCUCAUACACUACGGUAAUUGAUAAAGUGUAGAGAUAAACAUCAAAGUCACGCUCAUACACUACGUUUUAUGGAAAUCGUAGUAAUAGACUACUAUAGACUACACGUCGGACUACAUUUUGUUCACCAGUGUAGUCUAAAAUUUAAAAAUGGCGCUCAUACACUACGGUUCACCAAAAAAAGCGUAGUCUAUACGAAUAGACUACGUUUUUUCUAUAAAACCGUAGUUAUAGGGGUGUAGAGAUAGCCUAAAUUUGUAGUAGUGAGUCUUCAAUCUUCUGAUCUCCUUGAGUCUGAAAGAAGUAAAGUCUUCUUUCUUGGAGAUGGUGUUGCAGGCCGAUGUGACACAGCAGGUGAGGCUGUGUCAGGAAGGACGAUCUCCUAUCUUCGGUAAUUAAUGCUUUUGUCCUUAGCAUUAAUUGCGCCAAGUACAACGGUUGACUAAUUUAGCUUCUUGAGAGAUGGACUAUCGAUGCUUUUCCAAAGUAUCAGUCAGAGUAUAUGUAGUCCUCAGUGUCGUUAUUUUAGUCGGCUCUGCUGAUCAUGUGUCCUUCAGUCAACAACCUUCUUCCUUCAGUCUGGUGCCUUCAGUUAAAGUCUUUAGUUUUUGCCACUUCAGUCUAAACUAGUGAGGACUAAAACACUUAAAUCCAUAAAGAGAAAAUCAAACUAAAAAAGCUUUCUAAUAGUUUUGGUAUCAUCAAAACCAGAAGGUUGGAUAUAUCUUUUUGUGUCUCAACAACCGCUCGCCGGCCUCACCAUAGGAGGAGCCACGGCUGAUCUAUUUCAGCGAGCAAAAGUGAAGAAGACAUGGAGAGGCAAUGAAGAAAGUCGAAAAAUGCCGACCCCUCACCGGAAUUACAGAGGCCGACCCAUAUUAAUAGGAGGAAAGAGAGCUGAUUUAUUGGGAUCCUUGCAUCUUGAACACAAAUGUUGGGAUCAUUGCAUCUUGAGAACCAAGCAAAACUAGUUAGCUAAUGUGCAAUUUUAUUCACUUUCAUCUUUUCAUAUGACAAAACUCCGAAGCUUGCAUGAUUGAGAGGCUUCAGCAUCAUCAUUAAGUGAUUAUAAUCCCUUGUACGUACGUUUCGUGUAUAACAACGACUCAACUAUGGAUUAUUAGACAUGUGAAAUCAUGUUCAAUUUAAUAUCAUCACCAACUUGCAUUUCGGAUAUUUAAUAACCUAAUCGACAAUUCGACAUACACAAUUAUUAUCAAUAUUAUAAUAUAAAUUGGAUGACUUUCUCUUUAUUUUGUAUUUUUUUUAAUUGAGUUCUUACACUUUCAUAUUUAUAGAAUUAAAUUCGUAAAUUUGUUAUUUGCUAAUUAAUGCGUUCUGUAUAUUAAUUUAUUUAAUAACCUAAUCGAUAAUUCGACAUACACUUUCAUAUUUAUAGAAUUAAAUUCGUAAAUUUGUUAUUUUCAUUAUCAAAUAAUUUUCAAUUAUUUAAUAACUAUAAUUAUUAUUACAUUUUAUACGAAAAUGAAAAUUUACGUUUUCAAAUUCAGAUUGAGUAAUUAAUGUGGAUUAUUUUAUUUUAUUUUAAAAAUAUAUUAUGCAUUUGCUUAUAUUUUAAUUAUGUUUAAUAUUUCUAUUUAUUUAUUUAUAUCGUUUAGUUUUGAUAUUUACUGUGCAUCGCACGAGCGGACAUACUUGUAUGAGUAAGAACAGUUUGAUAUGCAAUAAUUGAACGUUAAUGCAAAUGAAAUUUAUAGGUUCGAUUUUAACAAAUAAAUAUAUAUGGGACCUAAUAUGUAUUUUUUAUUUAGAUAUAUUUCAAUCUAUUUGUACUAUAUACACUUUUUUUUUUUUUUGAAAUGAUACUUCCGCGUAUAUAUAUAUAAGUUUGAUCAUUACACAUUUAUAUAUUAUAUGAUACAAAUGUUUUAAGAAACGAUAACCACCACCAAGGGAACGUUAAUAUAUAUUAAAGACAACUCUUUGUAGUAUAUUUUUAUUUUUAAUAUAUAUAACUAGCUAGUACGACCAUUCGUGCGAUGCACGAACAAACAUCGAAAUUAAAAAGAUAUAUUUAAAUAAACAUAAAUAUUAAACAUAAUCAAAUAUAAGUUUUCAACCUUUUGUAAUGCAUAAUGAUAAUUAUUUUUAUUAAAUAAAUUUAAAAAUUGUAUUAUAAUGAAAAUUAGCAUUACACAUUUUUAUUAUAGAGUAUUACGCAUCAUAAUAAUUAAAUAAAUAAGUAAAUAUUUUCAUAUGCAAAUAUAAAUAAAAAAGUUGUAAACUUUUAACGAAAAAAGAGAAAGUAAAAUAUUUUAAAAUUUUCAUAAUUUUUUCAUUUUUAAUGAUUUUUAUAUUAUAUUAAAUUUAAGAUGUAUAUUGAAUAUUUUUUCGUGAAUCAAAUUUGAAAAUGUUUACAAAAUAAAUAAAAAAUAUAUAAAAAAAUAAAAAAAUAGUUGAAAAAUUGGUGGAAGAAUAGAGGGAAAAAAUGGAAGGAAAAAACUCUUUUAUAUAUUAUAUAGAUUUUACACAAAUCUCCUGUACACCCAGGUGUGCCGUACACCCGGGUUGACCCGUACUCAGAUCCUGACCCGCAUGUUAAUCUAAACCCGCAUCCUGACCAAAUAGUGUAAAUGACACUAUUCAAUUAUGCAAAUGACACUGCUUAUAAUUGACACUAUUCAAUUAUAUAAAUGACACCGUAACAUUUUAAAAUGUUAUAGUGUCAUUUUCAAUCUUAUAGUGUUAUUUAAAAUAUUAUAGCGUCAUUUACAAUCUUAUAGUGUCAAUUCCAGGAAGUGUCAUUUAUAUUUCUAAAUAGUGUCAAUUAUACACAACGUCAUUUACAAUGUUAUAGUGUCAUUUAUACGCAGUGUCAUUUGUAUAACAGAAUAAUGUCAAUUACAAGCAGUGUUAUUUGUAUAACUAAAUAGUGUUAUUUACACGAUUUGAGUCAUUAGGAUGCGGGUUUGGAUCAGGACGCGGAUCAAAAUUUGGGUACGGGUCGAACUCGGAUGUACAGUACACCCAGUGUACCCAAAACCACCUCUAGAUUUUAUUUUGGUUUGGUUCGUGGAUUGGAAAACUUCACACAACGUAAAAAUGUUGAUUUAAAUACAAGACAUAUUAAUAGUUAGAACCACUCAUUGCGGGCCUCAUGGGCUUAAUAGCACUCCGUAAUUAGAAUUUAGCUCUAUCGUUAUGCUUUAAUCUUGUUAUCACAAACUUAGAGUGUAAUGCUGAAAUAAGAAAAUGAAAUGAUUAAGAAGUACGUAUUGUGUAAAAGUUUAACUUUAUCACCAAAAACACUGAAAUGUUUUAAAUUAUGACUUCCAUAUUAAGACAUACAUAAAAUAAACAGAGACUAUAACUAUUAGUGCGAAAAUCAAUCAAAGCCCCAAUCCCUUGAAAAAUACUUAUCUAUUGAUUAGGUACAUUAAUAUGUCCCAGCUUCUCUAUUUUAUAUGUUUAUGAUUAAUUUAAUGUAUUAGCUUGGAUACUAUAUGCAAAUUAAUUCACUACAAAAAAAACGCGUAAAUAGCGACGAAAACUACCGACGGCGAGCCGCCGCCAGCAAUUAUCGACGGCACGGCGGCGGCAAAAAAGGCGACCCGCCUUUUGACUAUUACCGGCGCAUUACCGACGGCAAAACGGGCCGCCGCUAAUUAGCGGCGGUUACGCCGUCGCUAAUUUAAAUAUAUAUUAAUAUAAAUAUAUAUUAUUUAUUACCGACGGCAAUUGCCGUCGGUAUUUACCGGCGGCAACCGGCCGCCGCUAAUCACCACCGCCGGUGACAUCCGGCGAUAGCACCACCGCCGUCCGGCCAAAAUUACCGACGGCAUUUUUCCGCCGCUAAUUACCGACGGCAAAUGCUAAUUACCGCGGAAUUUUAUAUUAUUUUUUUUAAUUUUUUUAUUUUUAUUUUUAUUUUUUUUCUAUUAUCAUUAUAUGAUAAGAUAAAAUACAAAAACAUUAAAAUAAAUAAAUGAAAUUACACUAGUGAAAAUUACAUAUAUACUAAUCUAAAUUAUUACUAAGAAUUCAAGAUUCUUAGUAAGAAUAAGAAUCUUAAAUUAUAACUUAAGAAUGUUAAUUUUAGUGAUUACUCAUCAAUCAUCACUAAUCCAAGAUUAUUACUAAGAAUUCAAGAUUCUUAGUAGAACUUAUAAUUAUAACUUAAGAAGUUAAUUUGAUUAGUGAUUCACUCAUCAAUCAUCACUAAUCCAAGAUUAUUACUAAGAAUUCAAGAUUCUUAGUAAGAAUCUUAAAUUAUAACUUAAGAAUGUUAAUUUUAGUGAUUCUCAUCAAUCAUCACUAAUCCAAGAUUAUUACUAAGAAUUAAGAUAUUAUGAGACUAUAAUUAUAAAUUAAGAAUGUUAUUGAUUAGUGAUUCACUCAUCACUCAUCACUAAUAUAAUAUUAUUACUAAUAUUAUUAUUAAUCUAAUAAUAAUCUAAUAUUAUUAUUAAGAAUUGAAGAUUCUUAGUAAGAAACUUAUAAUUAUAACUUAAAAAUGUUAAUUUGAUUAGUGAUUCACUCAUCACUAAUCUAAGAUAAUAUUUCUAGUAAGAAUUCAAGAUUCUUACUAGAUUGAUAAAAUACUUAUGGUGUAUAAACUAGAUUGAUAAAAAAAAAAAAAAUGAAAAUUAAUAAUAAAUUAAUAAAUAAAUAUUUUUCUGAUAUAAAAAUAAGAACGGAAACGAGCCCAAUCCGUAAUUAACAAUAUUUUUUGGAUAUUAUCUCGACAUAUACUAAGGUUAUGAAUAUAUAUGAUAUUGUAUAUUGAAGUAGACUUUAAAUGAAUUAAUAGAUACUAUAUAUAUCAAUAAUACGAGUGUUCUGUACUGGUGAUCAUUCGAAAAGAACUUCAAGGUUAAGCGUGCUUGACUUAGAGCACAACUAAGAUGGGUGACCUACUGGGAAGUUCGUAUAAAUUAUGCAAUACUAUAUAAAUACGAAAAUAAAUUGUGGAUAUACGAUAAAAUAAAUAAAUAAAAUAAAUAAAUAAAAAAAUAAAAAAAAUAAAAUAAAAAUAAAAUAAAAAAUAUUACCUAGGGCAAAAUGCCGUCGGUAACGGCAUAUUGCCGUCGGUAAUUACCGACGGCAUUUUGCCCUCGGUAAUAUCUUGACCAACUCCGGCGGUGGCGCUCCGGUGGAAAUUACCGACGGCGGUGGCGCCGCCGCUAAUUAGCGACGGCAUUUGCCGUCGGUAAUUUUCCGGCAACUCUCCCGUCGUUCAACGGCGGAAAUACCGGCGGCGAAGCCGCCGUUAAUUGCCGGCGGCGGCCGAUCGCCGUCGGUAAUGGAGUUGCCGACGAACCGUUUAGCGACGGCGAGUUGCCGCCGGUAACGCCGCCGGUAACACUAUUUACCGGCGGCCGUCUUUUGUUACCGACGGCAUUUCGCCGUCGGUAAUCUACGAUUUUUUUGUAGUGACUUUUUCAUAUGUUAUAGCUAGAUGCAACAUAUAUUGAAGAGCCAUUCAUAAGAAAGCCGGGCAUAAGAUAUUUUUAAAAUUAUUAUCAUUGCUUCUAUUAAUCAUAUAAAGCAAUUAGCUGCCAGCACAAUAUUAUCAGGAUUUUCGAACUCAUAAGAAAGAAUAGGAAACCAAAUAUGGAGGAGACAUAAAAAGGUUGAGCCGUAGUAAAAAAAAUUAGUGAACACUGAGAAUUGCAGUGUACUUAUCUUGAGGGUUUAUUUUAUGCUUCAUAUUAGGAGACCACCACGGAGGGAGGUCAUGUUAAAAGUUGAUACGAUAUACUCCCUCCGUCCCAACUUUUAGUAUUCAACUUUCCUUUUUUGGUUGCCCCAUAUUUUGGUAUCAAUUUCUAUUUUUAGUAAAAGUAGGUGGGACCCUUACUCCACUUUAAUUAUUUUAACUCUCACAUAAAAUGUGGGACCCUUAUUCCACUCACAACACACCAAUCACUUUAUUAAAAUCCGUGCCGUUCUCAACUGGAUACCAAAAGCCGGGACGGAGGGAGUAGUUCAAUAUAAAAAAACUGCCUUUGAUGAACGUCCAUUUAUAGAUCAAGAAAGAAUAACAAACAAACUAUAAAGUAAACUGUCAAACAAUCAACAAGUCAAGAUCUAGAAAACAAACAAGUCCUCAUAUGAAAAGACUAUAAAGCAAACUGUCUAACAAUCACAAAACUGUCAGAUGGCAUAAAACCAGCCAAUGGCAGGAGAAAAUUUCAAUCAUUCCAUUUAAUCAAAAAUAAGCUUUUCAAACACAGUCAACAAGCCGUAUGCUAAAGGAAUUUUAUUUUAUUUUUCAGAAGAAUACAAGUAUAUGGAGUUGAAUGAAGCAACAAGAUUUAAAGGUGAUCGAGCAGAAUAUGCUUACCAGGUCUAACUUAGGAAUCUUAACCUAAUCUCAGCCUCAUUUAUUAUUGUUGGUGGAUAUUAAGUCGUUAACAUAGUUAUUCUGUCAGAAUAACCCAAAAGAAAUAAAGAAAGAGCUAUUGGCAUAGAAUGCCACAGCUCAUACAAUCAUAUUCAGCAACAAAAGAUGAUAUUGACAUUCAAAAAAUCAGUAACAGCCUAUAUAUUGCAUGUUUCAAUAACUCACCAAGUGUCUAGCUGCUAAGACCUUUUGUAGAGAUCUUACAUCAGCUGAAAACCUGAGGAGGCCAUCACAGAUUUGUCCGCUCUGCAUGGUAAAAUGAACCAAAUAAUCUAUCACGUGUAAAUUAUGUGACAAAGAUAUAGAAUAGCAAAUUUAACAAGAAAAUCAAAAUCAGUAUAUGCCAUAGGCAUCACUAAGAGACAAGAAAUGGGAUAAGAGCGACCAAUUAAACUUCCAGAAGAAUAAAUAAAAAGAAAAUCAUACUAGUGAAAAAUGUAGCAUCAUAACAAAAAUUAUCCCCAAGGAAGGCUCUGGGGACAUGAAGAUUAAAUAGAGAUGGAUAUUGUAGCAUCUAUCUUUUCAUAUUGUUUAGGGAUCAACGACAAGAAGCCUAGACAAAUGUUUUAUAUUGUUUAGGGAUCAAUGACAAGAAGCCUCGACAAAUGUUUUAUAUCAAGCACGUGUCCACGCUCCAAGACGCAAAUACUUCAACCAAUAGAGCUAAGUCAGUCCAAAUCGAACCAUGUAUGUAUGUAAAUCAUGCAGAGAGUUACAUAAUACUAACAACUUAUCUCCAGAACUCUUUCCAGUUUCUAUUAUAAUUAUUUUGGCAAGCCAAAUUCACAUUUCCAAGAGCUGAAUUGCUAGAGGAUGAAAAGUGAAUCAAGAGAAAAUUGAUUAAUCAAAUUAUAUUUGGCCACAUAGUAUUACAGGCCUCCUCCACAUGUUCGAUUCACAAAAAGAAUCAACACCUUCCCACUCUAGGUAUGGAUCUAACACCCCCAGUUCAAUUUACACAUCAUAUCUUCCUUUCGUACUUCAACUUAGCCAAGAGAAUAGUUAAUCAGAAGGAUCACUCAAAUGAGGGAUAAGAAACUGUUCUUUUUUUCCCCCCAUUAUUUCCCACUUGAUUCUCCCUACAGAAACAUAUAAUGCAAGAAAAUCUGGUUACACAAUCAUUACCGUUCAUUUAACACCUUACAAAUGCACAUCAAAAUCGACUCAACGGUCAAAACACAGUAAAAAGCGGAAGGAUUUACAGCUGAAUAAUUUUGGAGUAAUCGCGAGAUUCGAGUAUCGGCCGCAAUCACACAGUAAUCAGCUCCGGCAAUCGCAACACAGGUCCUGCACAGAAAACACAAAACAUCCAAACAGAUAAGCAGCUAGAAUUCGGAAGCGCCGUUCACUUUGUUGAUAAAUAAAAAGAUCCAAUUAGGGUUUUCACAUACCUCCAUUGUCGUCGUAGGGAGACCAAUUUGCUUGCUGCUUUGGUAACAUCCAGGAACGCAAAGAAAAAUUAACAUCUAAGAAUGCAAAGAAUUGAAUGAAUGAAUUCUUUAUUCAUAUGUGCGUAUUUCAAGAAUGAACAGUUUAUCUGGAAAAGCGUUAGUGCUAUACACCGUUUCUCAAGAAUCUAAAAAAUAUGAAAAAGCGCUAUAACGUUUUGUCCUCUAUUAAAAAAAUAAACUAAAAACUAGUAAAACAAGAAGACGCGGCGCUUAGCGGCGAUCCAGCGCUGUCAACUUUCUCCGACGCCGUCAUCGCCGCUUUCUACGGGGCCACCUCCACCGCGUGAGCCUAUAACGAAUCCGUAGCCGAGCAUCGGCGGCAUGGCGAUGGGCUUAGGAUUGAACCACCGAGGAGUUCCGGCCGGCCUGAAAACAAUAAUCCGGCCCUCAGGGCGGGCGGGCAUGGGCGACGGCCCAGGGCCACAAAAAAUUGAGGGCUCAAUUUUUUGAUAUAUUCUAUUAAUUAUAGGCUUUAUAUUUAUUAAUUAUAGGCUUUAUGUAAAAAAUAUUAGAUAACAUAAUACUUGUAUAUAAGAGAAGAGAAAACAAACCCUAACUUUUUGUUUAUUAGGGAUGUGCCAAGUAUGUACUUUUGUUGUCCUUUUUAGGACUAGCAUUCACUUUUUUCCAUCUCCUUUUUUUUCUCACUUGAGACAUGGANNNNNNNNNNNNNNNNNNNNNNNNNNNNNNNNNNNNNNNNNNNNNNNNNNNNNNNNNNNNNNNNNNNNNNNNNNNNNNNNNNNNNNNNNNNNNNNNNNNNNNNNNNNNNNNNNNNNNNNNNNNNNNNNNNNNNNNNNNNNNNNNNNNNNNNNNNNNNNNNNNNNNNNNNNNNNNNNNNNNNNNNNNNNNNNNNNNNNNNNNNNNNNNNNNNNNNNNNNNNNNNNNNNNNNNNNNNNNNNNNNNNNNNNNNNNNNNNNNNNNNNNNNNNNNNNNNNNNNNNNNNNNNNNNNNNNNNNNNNNNNNNNNNNNNNNNNNNNNNNNNNNNNNNNNNNNNNNNNNNNNNNNNNNNNNNNNNNNNNNNNNNNNNNNNNNNNNNNNNNNNNNNNNNNNNNNNNNNNNNNNNNNNNNNNNNNNNNNNNNNNNNNNNNNNNNNNNNNNNNNNNNNNNNNNNNNNNNNNNNNNNNNNNNNNNNNNNNNNNNNNNNNNNNNNNNNNNNNNNNNNNNNNNNNNNNNNNNNNNNNNNNNNNNNNNNNNNNNNNNNNNNNNNNNNNNNNNNNNNNNNNNNNNNNNNNNNNNNNNNNNNNNNNNNNNNNNNNNNNNNNNNNNNNNNNNNNNNNNNNNNNNNNNNNNNNNNNNNNNNNNNNNNNNNNNNNNNNNNNNNNNNNNNNNNNNNNNNNNNNNNNNNNNNNNNNNNNNNNNNNNNNNNNNNNNNNNNNNNNNNNNNNNNNNNNNNNNNNNNNNNNNNNNNNNNNNNNNNNNNNNNNNNNNNNNNNNNNNNNNNNNNNNNNNNNNNNNNNNNNNNNNNNNNNNNNNNNNNNNNNNNNNNNNNNNNNNNNNNNNNNNNNNNNNNNNNNNNNNNNNNNNNNNNNNNNNNNNNNNNNNNNNNNNNNNNNNNNNNNNNNNNNNNNNNNNNNNNNNNNNNNNNNNNNNNNNNNNNNNNNNNNNNNNNNNNNNNNNNNNNNNNNNNNNNNNNNNNNNNNNNNNNNNNNNNNNNNNNNNNNNNNNNNNNNNNNNNNNNNNNNNNNNNNNNNNNNNNNNNNNNNNNNNNNNNNNNNNNNNNNNNNNNNNNNNNNNNNAGAAAUUUUAUUUUUUUUCUAAGGUAUUGAAUGUGCUGCUUCAAAUUUUAGACGACGGAAGGCUGACCGACGGCAAGGGCAACACGGUUGAUUUUAGCAACACCGUCGUGAUACUAACGUCGAAUGUGGGAAACGACGACGGGCUCAAGCGCGCUUUCAAACCGGAACUGCUCAACAGAUUCGACGAAAUCGUGGCGUUCAAGCCGUUGCACAAGGAGCACAUACAGGAAAUACUCGAAAUCUUGAUCCGCAAAUUCUGCGACAGAGUGGCUUCCAACAAGAAUAUUAACGUUGCGAUUAGCAAAGGAUUGAAGGAAAAGCUGGUUUCAAAAGGAUACGACAUGAGGUAUGGUGCUCGAGCUCUCAAGAGGGCUAUAUGGCUAGAUUGGUUGAAGAUAAGUUGGCACAUGAAAUCUUGAAGGAGACAGUGGUGGAACAAGAUUAUGUUAUCAUGGAUGUUGUUGUGGAUGAGGAGAUGGUUUUGGUCAAACAUUCCAAAUUCCAAAUUAUUAUGAGAUGUGGAUUUGGAUUAUUUGUACACAACAACAAUAUCAAUGGUAGAUGUAGAUUUAGAUUAUUUGAACACGUCUACAACAUAGGUUUUCAACGGGCAAUUGGACUAGCGGAAAUUAUACAUGUUGUAAAUAGAUAGGAUUAGGAUAUAUUCUUUUUCAUUAUUUUUAGAAACUAGAGACAUUUUAGAGGGAUAUGAUAUUUUUAUUUUAUUUUAUCAUUCAACCAUGCACUAAUUUUAAUGCAUGUAUUUAUUCAGACUUUACCGUCUGUGGUUUAGGUGCUAAUUUCAACUAACUAGCAUCUGCAUCCCGCACAGGAAAACAUUUUUAAUUUUUAUAAAAUUAAAUUUAAUUGAAUAUAUUUGAAAAAAUAAAAAUGAAUUCACAAUUAUAAAAUUUGAUAUUAUGAAAAACAAAAACAAAAAAAAGUUAAAACAAUUAAAAAUAAAAUACUAAUUAAAAAGAAUUAAAAUAUAUUUAUUCAAAAAAAAUGAGCUGAGAGGAGAGAGAAAUUUAUAGAACUUUAAUAUUUAAACAAAUUUAAUUUUUUCAUUUUAAAUUAAAUAUUUUCAUAAAAUAUAUCAUAUUAAAGCUCUUAUCAUGAUCUUUAAUUUGAUAUUCAUAUUAAAUAUUUUAUAAUUAAUCCAAUUUCAUAAUUUUGGAAAGAAAUGUAACAACAAAUAAGAAGUUAAAGAAAAUAAAAAUAAAAAGAAAAAUAGUUUAAACAUAAACCUUCAAUUUUAUUAUAAUUACAAAAUUGCCAAUCAAUUUGAAAUUGAAAACUCUCUUUUUAAUAUAGUAUAGAUAUAGAUUAAGACUCUUUUACUAUAUAUGUAUGAACAUCAGAGUGCAUGCAACGGAGUAAACCUUUUUGUGCUAGUAUUAUAGAAAUAACCACAAUCUCUUUUUCCCUUCAAUCAAUAUGUCAGGGGUUCGAGUCAUCACAGGGAGAAAAUGAAGAAGUAUUAUUAGUCCAUUAUUUGAAGAGUUAUAUCUUGUUCACAUUAAUUUCAUAAAAGAAAUGGUAUGAGAAAGUAGAGAGUAUCUUGUGCUUUGGCAUUUUGGUCCAAAAAGGUAAACCAACUCUGCCCCUUCCAAAUAUUUUCUUCAUACCUCAAAUAAACAAUGCUCAUAAAUAUUAAUAUUUUACUCUAAGAAACAUCUUCAAUUUGUUGCUUUUUCAACUGGCGUAGCCCUCCCAUCACGUCCAACAACUCAUAUAGUGUUAUUUAAUCCAAGAAUUGGAACACAGCUAUAACUAAUUCAACAACCUCAGAGAAAACAAUGUGUGCAGCCAAUCGGCAGCUCUUUGCAUGAUCAUAAAGUUUGAAGAAAGCAAAAAAUAUAUUUAGACGUCGAAAUAUUAUAUUCAUGGAAGACUUUGAAGUCAAGUGUAGUCCAGAGCUAAUUGAUGGGGUGUGGUCAAUGGUCCGGGCUCUGAAUCGUUCAUUAGGGCCCGAAUCAAAACUGAAACCGUGAAAUGCCCGGUGCGAGUAAGUGCCAAAAUUUCUUGAACUGAAAACCGACAGUUAAUCAUUGGGUCGAACCGCCCAAAAUCGGGGAUUUUUAGGUUUUUAAAUUUUUUUAUUUUUUUUUUGGAUUUUUUUAAAUUAGUUACUCAUUUCGUCCCAUGAAUCUUGAGUCACUUCUUUUGGACAUGAGAAUUAAGAAAAUAUAGUAUUUAGUGUGUAAAGUGUGGUAGGUGAAAAAAUGAAAAAUGAAUAAAGAGAAUUUUUUUUUGCCAUAUAAGUAAAUGACUCAAGAUUCGUGGGACGGAGGGAGUAUUAGUGUUUAGACUAUAGUAGUUUAGAAAUUUUAGUGUAGUAGUUAUUACUUAUUCAAUUUUGUAAUUUGACGAUUGUAAUUUAUUUGUACAUGUAAAUUGUACUCCCUUCGUCCGUCAAGAUUAUAACACAAUUAUUAUAUCGGACGUCCGCCAAGAUUAUGUCACUUUCCUUUUAUGGCAAUGGUCCCACUAUUUACUUUUAUAUUUUAUCCUUACAAACACUCUUUAUUUACAAAAAACUCACCCUAAAUUCAAUCUCAACCACACAUCUCAUAAAGUGGUGGGACCCUUCCUCCACUACAUCAAAAUCAUCAUCAAUUUUAUUAAAUGUCGUGCCCAAGUAAUUUGCCAUAAUCUUGGCGGACGGUGGGAGUAUUUUUUUUUUCUUUGAAUUUAAUAAAAAAGUAAAUUUUAUUACAUUUUGGGUGUAAUGUGUUAUAAUUUUAUUUCAUUUAUAAUUUUUUCAAUAAUUUCGUUACGUGUGAUGUAUUAAAUAAUGUAAUGUCAUAAGAAAAAUAUACACAAUACAUAAAAUAAAAUAAAAUACGAAAACCGCCGGUUCGGUUUCCGGCCAGUGGACAACACUGGUCAAGUGUAUAAAGUCUAUAAAUCCACAUACCUUAACCUCAGGUUUCUACACAGCACAACACUAUCCCUCUUCAAUGGCUAUCUCUUUGCUUUUACAAUUUCUUUUCAUCAUUCUACUUCCACAAUCAAUUGCCAAAACACAUGUUACUGAUCAUGCUCAAACACACUGCAUAGAGCAUGAGAAAACUUUGUUGCUUGAGUUGAAGAACCAACUGGUAUUCAAUUCAUCUUAUUCAACAAAUCUGGUGCAAUGGAACGUCGACGAAACGGGUGAUUGUUGCAUGUGGAAUGGUGUGGAUUGCGACGACGCCGGCCAUGUUAUCAGGUUGUGGCUCAAAGAUGAGGCCAUUUCAGGUGGAUUUAAUGAGUCAUCCAGUCUUUUCAAUCUCAAGUUCUUGAAGAAGCUCAGCUUAUCCGACAAUUUGUUCUCAUCUUCUUUACCACAUUCUAUUACCAAUCUUGAGAGUUUGUCUCAUUUAUACCUCUCCAAUGCCACAUUCAGUGGCACGAUUCCAUUGGCUCUUGGUAAUCUGACGCGACUAGUCCACGUGGACUUGUCACACAACUUCUUCAGUGGCUCAAUUUCUUCCAUCCACUUUGAAGGUCUUUACCAAAUUGAUACAAUUGAUUUAAGCUACAACUCACUAAGUGGCAGCAUUCCCAAAUCCAUCUCUACUCUUUCUUCACUAUGGCAACUUUAUCUCCACAACAACCAAUUCCAUGGCCAACUUAGUGAGUUUCUUGAUGAGGAUAUCUCCAAGCUUCAUUUUCUCAGUGAUCUCGAUCUCUCCAACAACUUGCUCAACGACAGUUUUCAACUCGAAAAGAUUCUAACCAUCAUUCCCUACCUCGAAAAUCUUGAUCUUUCUAACAACUUCUUGUCACUCAACACUUCAAGCUCAAACAAGUUCUCUAUGAACAAAUCCUUCUUGAAUUACUUGGACCUUUCGAGUAACAUGAUUGGUGAAGUUCCUAGUUGGAUUUGGGAAAUUGGAGAAUUGACAUUUUCCUAUUUGAACCUUUCUUGUAACAAGCUGGUGGAUCUGCAACAGCCUUACCAUAUUCCUAGCUUCUCUCUUGGUGUUCUUGACUUGCACUCGAACCAGCUUCGUGGCGAGCUGCCACUGCCACCACCGAAAGCUUUGUACGUGGAUUACUCGAAUAAUUAUUUCCACAAUUCCAGUCCCAACACCGGAAGCUUCUCCUCUGUUGAUCUUCAAUUCUUAUCCGUUGCAAAUAACAGCCUAACGGGGCCGUUUCCAACCUUCAUUUGCAAUAGUACAAGCCUUAAAUUUCUUGACUUGUCUUUCAAUAACUUGAGUGGUAGUUUACCUUCUUGCCUAUUUGAAAAUGAUAAGAAUCUUCAAGUGCUCAAGCUAGGGAGAAACAACAUCAAUGGUGGGAUCCCUGAUAAAUUUUCUCCCAAUUGCAGCCUAAGAACUUUAGAUAUGAGUCACAACAAUUUGGUUGGAGAUGUUCCACUUUCUUUAAAGAGUUGCUCUUCUUUAGCAUUCUUGAAUGUUGGAAGCAACCACAUAGAUGGUAACUUCCCAUGCCUGCUUCCAUCUUCGUUGCAAGUGCUCGUGUUGCGCUCCAACAGAUUACAUGGAGAAAUCGGAUGUCAGAAGAGUUGGCCAAAUCUUCAAAUCAUGGACAUAGCUUCCAACAAUUUCAGUGGCUCAUUACAUCCUUUGAACUUCACAAGUUGGAGAGGAAUGGUGUUGGAAGGCGAGACAAGGCCAGCGCGCUUCAAAUUAGGUACCGGUUUGACUAACUACACGAGUUACAACUACUGGGAUGAGGUGACAUUAACCAUCAAAGGAUUGGAGCUGAAGCUUGUCAAGAUUUGGCCAGAGUUUACAUCCAUUGAUUUCUCUUGCAAUAAUUUUCAUGGAGAUAUCCCUAAAGCCAUUGGUGAGCUCACUCACUUUAUCUUCUAAACCUAUCCCACAAUGCUCUGAGUGGUAAUCCCAAAGUCAUUUGGUGAGUUGAGGCAGCUCGGAUCACUCGAUCUCUCGAUGAAUCUGCUCACAGGUGAGAUACCAGAUGAGAUUGCAAGGCUCACAUUCCUUGUUGUGAUGAAUGUGUCUUACAACAAGCUGGUUGGGAAGAUUCCACUUGGCUCUCAAAUUCAAACGUUUUCAGCUGAUUCCUUUGAAGGGAACAUAGGAUUGUGUGGUCUCCCUCUCAGCAUUAGCUGCACAAACACACCACCACAGAGAAAUGUGGAAUCAGAUAGGGAGAUUGAGUGGGAUUAUGUGUUUGCUGCUGCUGGAUAUGCUGUGGGCAUAGGGAGCUUUUCUUGGGUGCUUUUAUUUUGGACAAGCUUUAGAGACAAAUAUUUUGAGAAAGUUGAGGAUGUUUUUGAGAAGAUAUUCGAGCGCCGCCAGAAUAGGAAGAGAAGACAUGGAGGAAGAAGGGCUGUGAGGAAUCAAGUUAGAAGACAGUAGUGGUGACAGAGUUAUUUAGUUUGGUUGCAGAGGAAAAUUAAUAAACAUGAAUGUGUUUUGCUUUAAUUCUAUGAUGUUGUAAGGCUCCUUAUUUGCAUCUUGUUUUGUUAUCUUUUGGUAUAUCCUUUCAUAUUUGUGUGUCUAGUCUACUUUUGAAAUAGUUACUCGGUCCAUGAUAAGUGUGAUGUGGAUUGGAUGAUACGAAUUUUAAGAAAAUAUUGACGGAUAUAUAUAAAGUGAGAAGGUGAAUCAUCAAACUUCCAUUAUGUAAUUAAUAAAUGGUUUGUAAGAUGAGUUUUUUGUAAAUAUUAUAUGUGAAGGGUUAUUAGCCUGUAAAUACACAAACUUCUUAUAUUUUCUGAAUUUAACAUGACUUCUAUUUUUACUGAAAUACACAAACUUAAUAUUUUUUUUCUAAAGUGGAGACAGGAAUAUAUGGCGUGGACUACGAAAUAUGCACUUAAAUAGAGUAGUUUGAUUCAUUAGUUUAAUUGGAGAGUGAAUAACAUGGUAUAUUGGCUUUCACGUUAAAUAGUAAAUCAGAGUUUUUUUUGUCGAUGUAAAAAAUCAGAAAAAAUGCUAAGUUCGUGUAUUUGUAAGCUAAAAAUAAAAACUAUGUUAAAUUUCAGAAAAUAUAAAAAGUUCGUGUAUUUACAUGUUAGUAUGAAUAAGAUAAAAAUAUAUAUUCUAAAAUAGAAAACUCACAUAUAUUAAAGCAAAAUGACAUUUGUAUCCCAUUUCUUCUUGCUGUGAGCAGAAAUCAAAUUACAGUCAGAUCUCCACUAUCUUAGCCGGCAAGAAAAAUUACACCAAAUUCAAUUCUGCAAAAGCCUCAAUCUUCAUCGCACAUUCAGAUCAAGAGAAAAUCCCCAAAAUUCAACCCUAAAAAGAGAAAAAAAAAAAAAAAAAUACAGAUCGCCUUCAAUUCGAUGGCGAACGUUCCGCCGGUGGUUUUCCGCUCCGGCGGAAGCUCCUCCGCCCCGCAGCAGCGCCGCCUCCCCACCGCCCCCUUCCAGCCCCCCGGAUCUUCCAACCCCGGCAUCCCCUUCCUCUCCUUCGACGUCAACUCCGCCGCGGCCUCCACCUCCUUCUCCGCCGCGCCGCACUUCCCCUCCUCCUCCGCCGCCUUCGACGACGAGCCGCCGCUCCUCGAGGAGCUCGGCAUCAACACCAAGCAGAUCUACCAGAAGACCAUCUCCAUCCUCAACCCCUUCCGCAUCAACCACCACCUCCACGAGGACGCCGAUCUGUCCGGCCCCUUCCUCUUCCUCAUGGCCUUCGGCCUCUUCCAGCUCCUCGCCGGGAAGCUCCACUUCGGGAUCAUCCUCGGCUGGGUCACCAUGGCCUCGGUGUUCCUCUACGUCGUCUUCAACAUGCUCGCCGGAAAAAACGGCAAUCUCGACAUGUUCAAGUGCCUCAGCCUGAUCGGCUACUGUAUGCUGCCGAUCGUGAUGCUGUCGGCGCUCUCGCUGUUCGUGCCGCAGGGCGGGACGGCGAUACUGGUCGUGACGGGGGUGUUCGUGGUCUGGGCGACGCGUGUCUGCACGGGAUUGGUCGUGGAGCUCGCGAGCUGCGGGGACGAGCACCGGGGACUCAUCACGUAUGCCUGCUUCUUGAUUUACGUGCUCUUUUCUAUGCUUGUGGUUUUUUGAUUGAUCAGCAUUUGGUUAGAUAGGUGUUGAAUUGGUUAGUAUUGAUGUUGGCUGUCUGUUUGUGUAGAUUUUGUUUAUUCUAUGAGUUUCUGGAUAUGGAUUCUUGAAUUUUUGAGGAUGAGGAAUGAGGAUAGCUUGCAAAUUGGAAGCUGAUAAUGGUCACUCUUUGAUGAUUGGAUGUCUCAACCUAUUAUGCAUUGCAAUUUGCAAUUGUUUCAAGUUUCCUUCAUUACUUUAGUUGAAGUUUGAUUAAUUUUGAGAGAUUAGUUGGAGUGAGUUGAUCAGGGUGGAAUGCAUGUACUCUGUUGUACAAAGAAGAAAAAGUGGAAUGGGAAAAGGAUCUUUUUCUUUUGAAGUUUCAUGCUUCUCUGUAUUUGUAGUAGGGUUAAUAGUGUUUUAUGUGUUAAACUUUCGUUUUCUCCUACACACUCCGAACUACACACUCCGAACUUUCAGCAUUUUUCAUAAAAUAUCCCGCUAUGCAAAAUUCGGUGAUGAAAAGAUGACUCUUUUCCAAAUUGAUUACAGUCAAGUUGUCAUUCCUGCACCACCAAGUUUAUAAUUCAAGCCUUCUCCGGCGAGAUAAGUCAUCUUUCUAUCACCGAAUUUUGUAUGUCGUGAGCUUUCUAAGGAGAAAACGGAAGUUCGGAACAUUUUAUGGAAAAUGCUGAAAGUUGAGGACGUAAAACACUAUUAAACCUUUGUAGUAUUACCAUGGAAAGUUAAUGCCUCUGGUAGCAUUUUUGAUGAGAGCUCGACUUAAUGAGACCCCUUAUUUAGAAACGAUGGCUUACUCUGCACCAAAUAUAUCAUAUAACCCUUUAAGGAGGCGUUUAUUUUUUAGGAUUAGUUUGGAUAGAUAAAAAUAGUAUAGACUAAUCCUUUGUUUGCUAAGAUUGUAAUUUUGGGAUAUCGCAAGGCCCUUGAUAAUUUUUAUCAUUUUCAGCUAAUUUUACUUGAUUCAUGUCCCAUUGAACAGGUGGGAUUGGAGAAAUCGUAGUAAUGAGGAUAAAGAUACUUAAUCGUGUAACUUAUCAAUCAUGAACAGUAAACGCCCUCUAAGUGUGUAAUAGGAGAUGGCAGUAUCUUCAUAUCAGGUAGUUUGAGUACCAUGUACUUGUUUAGAUUUAGCAACAUCUUUCUUUAUACUUCAAUGUAUUUUGAUUACCAUGUAGUUAAUAGACCCCUCAAGUUGUUUACCAUUGGCCUUUCCUGAGAGUGUUUCUGUGUGUAUAUUCUCUCCUUCUAAACUGCAAAAUUACAAGUCAUUACAGUGGAUCAGAAUCUAGUGAUUUUGAUCUUAUUAGAUUUCACUACAAAAUUCAGUGAUGACUUGAAUUCAGUUCUAUAAUCAGUAGUUCCUGGUUAAAAAUGAGUUUUUGCCUAUUGUUAAUACUAAUGUGGCCAUGUGUUCAGGUUAUUGUUGAUUAGAUUGCAAUUCCAUGUCUAUGGCUAUCUUUUUUCUGCAUUGCCUUCUGUUGGAUUUAUAUUGGGUGGGCCAAAAUGUUGAUAAUGAUUCUUGCACCUAUUUAUCUGUGUAUGUUAUUGAAGAAGCAGGUAUGAAUUUGCAUAGAUAGUUGAAUUUCAUUUUUUGAAGUUCCCAUCUUCUUUUCUGGUUGAGUGAGAUUUAAGUGACGAUGAAGCGCAGUCUGUUGAUAAGACGCUUCUCCUCCAACCAAUAGAUCGGGGGUUGAGUCACCUCGAGAGCUGGAGUGUGAGUGUGUUUUUCCUUUCUUUGGGUAAUAACAAUUAAAAAAAAAAGAUUUAAGUAUCCAUAGCUUCUAAAAGCAAUGCAGAUAAUAUUACUGUCUUCGAUUUAUUCUGAGAGGUUGGUGGUGAAUUCUUAUGCUACCUUUGAUACAUAAAAUGGUACAAGCAUUGAAGCAUAGAUUAAAUUACAUGNGUUUGUGUAGUAUUUUGUUUAUUCUAUGAGUUUCUGGAUAUAGAUUCUUGAAUUUUUGAGGAUGAGGAAUGAGGAUAGCUUGCAAAUUGUAAGCUAAUUAAUAGUCAUUCUCUUUGAUGAUUGGCUGUCUCAACCUGUUAUGAAUUGCAAUUGUUUCAAGUUUCCUUCAUUACUUUAGUUGAAGUUUGAUGAGUUUUGAGUGAUUAGUUGGAGUGAGUUGAUCAGGGUGGAAUGCAUAUACUCUGUUGCACAAAGAAGAAAAAGUGGAAUGGAAAAGUAUCUUUUUUCUUUUGAAGUUUCAUGCUUCUCUGUAUUCGUAGAAGGGGUAAUAGUGUUUUAUGUCCUGAACUUUUGUUUCUCGUAUAAUAUCAUGGUAUGCAAAAUUUGGUGACGAAAAAGAUGACACUUUUCCAAAUCAAGUUGUGAAUCCUGCACACCAAGUUGAUAAUUCAAGCCUUCUCUGGCGGGAUAAGUCAUCUUUCUGUCACCGAAUUUUGUAUGUCGUGAGCUUUCUAAGGAGAAAACGAAAGUUCAGGACAUUUUAUGGAAAAUGCUGAAAGUUCUAAACAUAAAACACUAUUAAUCCUUUGUAGUAUUACCAUGGAAGGUUAAUGUCUCUGGUAGCAUUUCUGAUGAGAGCUUGACUUAAUGAGACCCCUUAGAAAUGAUGGUUACUCUGCACAAAAUAUAUCAUAUAACCCUUUAAGGAGUCAUCUUUACUUCAAUCAGGUAUUUUGAUUACCAUGUAGUUGAUAGACCCCUCAAAUUGUUUCCUAUUGGCCUUUCCUGAGAGCGUUUCUGUGUGUAUAUUCUCUCCUUGUAAACUGCAAAAUUACAAGUCAUUACAGUGGAUCAGAAUCGAGUGAUUUUGAUGUUAUUAGAUUUCAGUUUCACUACAAAAUUCAGUGAUGACUUGAAUUCAGUAAAGUAAUCAGUAGUCCCUGGUUGAAAAAAAUGAGCUUUUGGUGUUCAAGCAAGGAACAAGUGUGGUUAGAGUUGGAGUAAGCAUCCAUAUCAAUCAUAUGCCGGCGUUCAUCACUACUUCAUACGAUGCCCCUGUCGUAGUCUAAGUUCUUUGUAACUUCCCAGUUCUCUAUAUGAAUGUGUGUAGGUUAUAUGCUGACUUGUUAUGCUAUUUCUUGUCCAUUCGAAGAAACGAAGGCGCCUUUCUCUUGGAUGUGUUGCCUAUUGUUAAUACUAAUGUGGCAUGUACAUAAGUUACUAUUGUUGAUUAGCUUGCAAUUCCAUGUCUAUGGUUGUUUUUUCUGCAUUCACUUCUGUUGGAUUUACAUUGGGUGGGCCAAAAUGUUGAUUAUGAUAACUUGCACCUAUUUAUCUGUGUGUGUAUAUUAUUGAAGAAGCUGGUAUGAAUUUACAUAGAUAGUUGAAUUUCAGUUUUUGAAGUUCCCAUCUUCUUUUCCUGGUUGAGUGGCAGAUUGAAGUUUUCAUAGCUUGUAAAAGCAAUGGAGAUGGUAUUACUGUCUACAAUUUAUUCGAGAGGCUUUGGUGGUGAAUUCGUAUGCUACCUCUGAGACAUACAAGCAUAGAUUAAAUUACACGAAAAAAAAAAUAUUGUUAAAAUAGAGGAAUGGAGAUUUUANAUCCAGAUCCGUGGAUCUGAAAAUUUUGGAUCCAGAUUUAGAUCCGUCAGAUCCGCGAGUCCACGGGUCCAGAUCCAUGGAUCCACUAUUUUUAAAUUAAAUUAAAAAAAUUUCACAAAAUCAACAAUAUCUAAUUUCCAUCAUGAAAAAUAUAACACAAAAUACUUUUAUCUAAUUACUUUUAGUUUUUAUUCUUUUGAAUAUAAUUUAUUUAUUAUUUUUAAUUUAAUUAAUAUUAUUAGUAAACUAAAUAUAAAAUAUAAAAUAUAUAUAUAUAAAAUAAAACGGAUCCACGGGUCGGAUCUGGGCCGGAUCCGGAUCUAAAAUUUCAAGAUCCAGAUCCGUUUUCAAAAUUGAGAUCCAGAUCUAGAUCCGUCGGGUCCAAAAAAUUGAGAUCCAGAUCCAUAAAAACGGAUCUGGACCGGGUCCAAGAUCCACUGCCAUCCCUACAUUUCAUAAUGAAGUGUAGUUCAAUUGAUAUUUUUUUUAAUAAAUCAAGUAAUUGAAUUAUCACAAAAAAUAAAUUAUUAUUAUUGAUUCUCUUUUAAAAAAGAAAAGAAAAGAGAAAGCUUUCAUUAAGUCAGGAGUUUGAAUUAUCACGAGAAAAAUAAAUUAUUAUUAUUGAUCAUUUUUAAAAUAGCAAAAAGAAGAAGAAAGGAUGUAUCUCUCCCCUAAUUUUUAUACAUUCACAUAUGAAUCAAUUUUCCUAUAAAUCUAAUUUCAAUUUUCUCAUCAAUUGAAGACAUCAAAUUCAAUUGACAAGCUAGAAAGUGCAACUCAAUUGAAAAAUUCUUUUAAUAAAUAAACUGAAAGUUCGAGUCAACACGACAGGGGAGAUUGAAAAUCAUUAUCGAUCAUCGUUUAAUAAAAAAAGAAUAAAAAAAAAUAAUACGACAAUUCAAUAGCAAAAAUAAAACAAAAAAGAAUAAUUAGAAUAGCGGUUGAGGUAGGUACAACUACGCCUUUCAGUUACCUACGUACAACACGCUAAAGCCACCAGUCAGUUUCUGUAUGCAGUCACACCCANAUAUAUCUACUUAAAAAUAUCAAAUUAUGGCAAAUCACCCGUCACAGUUAAUACAAAAUUUUCUCAUUCAAAAAUCAAAAUCAACAAUUACUCACAAUAAUUAAAUUUCCUUUUUUUUUAAAAAAAAAGAACAAUAAUUAAAUUUCCUGUUGACUUAUAAUACUAUUACCAUAAAAUAAUUCCAAUUACCAAAGAGGAUAAACACUUAAUUAUUUUGGUAUUAGGAAAUGUAUUACUCCCUCUGUCCGCCAAAAGUAUUCCACAAUUACUAUAUUUGGCGUCCGCAAAAAGUAUUCCACUUUCCUUUUUAAGUCAUGGUCCCACCAUCCACCUUUAUAUUUUAUCCUUACAAACACUCUUUAUUUACAAAAAACCCACCCCAAAUUCAAUCUCAACCACACAUCUCAUAAAGUGGUGGGACCCUUUCUCCAUUACAUCAACAUCAUCUCCAAUUUUAUUAAACUCUGUGCCCAACCAAAGUGGAAUACUUUUGGCAGACGGAGGGAGUAGUAUAUUUACAUUAAAUUAUACUAUAUACAUUAAUUAUUGAUACUAUAUUUAUAUAUGAAUGACACUUUUAAUAUAUCUAAAUAAUAUUAAUAAAUAAUAGUAUAUUUAUAUUUAAAUGAUACUUUUGUUGGGUUCCGAAAGGUCAGAAUAGGUGUAUGGGAAGGGGGAGAAUACACCUAUAGGCUAUUUUCAAAAACUGAUCGUCAAUACAAUCCAUCACUAAUAACUGAUACUGAAACGUUUGAAAGGAGGAUCAGUUAUGGAAGGAUUGAAGACUGAUAUCAGCAAAGUCUCAAACUUUGACUGAUGCGCUCAAGGAGCUUCAGUCUUGAAUUAAUCAGAGAGGUGUUAUGAAUCUUACUGACUAUCCGAAGAUUUAUUAGUUAGACUAAUAAUACAUGCAGCGGAAAACUUGUUGUUUUGAAAAAGCCUUAGAGCAUGUUUAUCAGUUAACGUUUCACUUUGCAGUUAAUCAGUUUUCAGUUUAAGAUCAGUUAAGCACAGAGAGAAAGUAAAACUGAAAGCAGUAAAUGACAAAACGAUUUUUACGUGGUUUGGAAAACACUUCCUACAUAUACGGUCAGUUGAUCAGACUGACAAACACUCUGGGCAUGUGCUUGCGGGUGCACAACAAACCUUGAACUGAAACUGCUCGCUUUAGUACCAACCAACACAGUUGGAUUUCUCAAACCACUUAGCGCGCACUAGGCAUUAAGAUUCUCCAGAGGCAGACCACUCGUCUGGACUCCAAACAAAUCAAACACUCUUUUACAACAGAUGAAAAGGAGGUUCGAAAUGCCAACUUGAUUACGAAGAACAAGCUCUUCAGUAAUCUGAACUUAGGCUUAAAAUAAAACAAAGUAUAUGCCUAAUGGUUCUAAGAUAAUGUGUAUAAUCAGCAGGCUGAUUUUGGACUUGGUUGAUUCUCUUCUUCGAUUCAAAGUUUGGAAUCGCUUGAUUAGGCUGAGCUACAAAUUUGGCAGAGUUUCAGUUUGAGCUUUUGAAUCGGUGAAGAUUAAAGUGUUCCUCGAGCGGUAUUUAUAGGAUAGGUCUUGAAUAGAUCCGUUGGCGGAAAUGGUCUUCAAGAAUUCGUCCGUUGGGAGAUUCAAAUCUCGGCUGAAUUUUCAAUUUUCGAGGUUCCUUAUUUUGGUGAGAAAGGACGAUCCUCAGGAUCUCUGCAUUUAAUGCGGCUGUACUUGCGGAUGCAAAGCUUCCUUUGUAAGCGUUGGAGGUUCAGUUCGAGGAAGAAUGUUGGCUGAUACUUAACGUUAGUAUCAAUCCGUAAUUUUCACGUAGCCAGCAUUUAAGGUAUCAGUUAAGACUGAUCCUUACUUAAGUUAAACUCCAGUAUUUGACUUCUGCCGUAGAUCGCAACUUCAGUUGAGUUCUUCAGUCUUCAGUCUUCAGAACAUUAUAAACUAGAGAACGAACUCAAACAGUCAAGUUCAAAAGAGUCUAGUCUAUUACACAAGGGUGAGGAUAUUCCACAAAGUUCCCAACAAUUUCUCCCUUUUUGAUGAUGUCGAAACCAUACCGCAGAUCUAUGACAAACAACGACUGAACAACUAAGGCAAGUUACUAAACAGGGUAAAUGCAAUUCCCCCUUAACAAGAAAUCCUAUUAACUUGCAAACAGCAGAAAAACCAAAACAGUUAAAGAACAUAAAAUGAAAACAUGACUGAAGUAAAUAAUCAGAGCAUGGAUAAAAAAGACAUUAUCUUCAGGUUAAGGUCAAAAGGAAUUGUAUUUUUAUUUCAUAAAACUGAUGAAAAAUCAAUUACAAUUAAGAACAUAAACAAAAAAAAAAUAUUGUUAAACAAAAAAAUAGAGAAUUAUUAUUGAUCGUCUCAAAAAAAAAAUUAUACCUUUGAGAUAGAUGGUCAUAACACAUGUCUAGUGAAAGCAUGCAUCUCUGAAUGAUAAUGAAACGUAGUUUAAUUAAUAAAACGAUUUUAUCAAAACAAGCUACAAAGUGCAUUUCAAUUGAUAAAUUAUUUUCUUUUGAUAAAUAAAUUGAAAGUUCGAGUCAAGACAAUUAGAUAGGGGGAGAUUGAAAAUCAUUAUCGAUCAUCCUUUAAUAGUUUAAUUAAAAAAGAAUAAUAAAAAAAAUAAUCGACAAUUCAAUAGCAAAAAUAAAACAAAAAGAAUAAUUAGAAUAGCGGUUGAGGUAGGUACAACUACGCCUUUCAGUUACCUACGUACAACACGCUAAAGCCACAGUCAGUUUCUGUAUGCAGUCACACCCACCAUGGCGCGAGCACUCCAAGCCCUAAUCCCCCACCCUCCGAUCACCGGAAUUCCAUCUUUCCGGCUUCUGCGCCAGCUUCCCUCGCCGGCGUUUUCCCCCAUUCCCGGCCGCAAGUCCAAUGUUGCGCCUUGUCUCCGGGAGCUCCAUUCAGUUUAUAGAAUACGCUGCAUUAAAGCAAGUGCCAAGUCCCUUGAGGUUACCUGCUUUCUCAAAAUUUCAUUUUUUUCCAUUAUCAGUCACUGCAAAAAUUCAAUGCUGUCUGUGUGUGUAUUGUAUUGGAGGAUUGUGCUUGUUCCGUUGACCUGAAAUUUAAUGUGUUGGUGUGUUUCAGGGAAAUGGAGAUGGAGAUGGAGAAGGAGAAAAGCCGCUCCCGGUGGUUGUAACUUCGAAUUGGACCAAAACAUUAGCUAAGAUUGCUUCCGAUAAUUUUCUGCCUCUAGGUAUGAUUGAUGUGGUUUUAAUUUUAAGUGUUAAUCCUUAAUAAUCUCGCCCAAUUUCAAUACAGUUUUUAUCAGUUUCAUGGAAAAUGUGUGAGCUAGGCAACAAUUUACUACGGUUUUCUAAUUGCAGCGUAAUAUGUUCGUGUAAUUGUGCUUGCAGCUCUUAUCUGUGGAGUACUGUUGGGACUUGCGAAUCCUGGUCCCGGUUGUCUUGCUGAUAAACUUUAUGUAUCGAAAAUUAGUACAUUUGGGAUAUUUGUAAUUUCAGGUCAGGUUUCUCGUAUAUUGAAUAACUUCUGGUAUUGUUAUUGAAUCUUUUGUGAUUAUAUUACCUUGCAGCUUUUAGAUAUCCACACUUUUCUGUAGUUUGUUUUAUGUUUCUUAGCUAUUUUCAUUUCUCAGGACUGACGUUGCGCAGUGAUGAAAUUGGUGCCGCUACUGAAGCAUGGCCAGUUGGACUGUUUGGACUAGUAUGAUCUUGCAUUCUUCUUUACAUUUUAUUUCUCCUCUUUAAUACAUCAUUUAGCUAUGCUGUUUUUAAAAAUCACACUUUGCUGUUCUGUCUUGAUAUCGUGCUCUUAGUGGAGUUAACUUAGAUAACAGCUUGAAGUCCUAGAUCUUUUCAAAUUCUGGAAGCCCUUUGUGAGAUUAUAAUUUUCUAUUAUUUUGUUACGAAUUUCCAUCUGUUGAAACAUUAGCGUUCUUACCUCUCAAGUUCCUCAGGAAAUAACUUAAUUUCUUCUAUUCAUUGCAAUGCAGGCUUCUAUUUUAUUUUUAACACCCUUAUUCUCAAAGAUCAUAUUGAUGCUAAAGCUCCAGCCACAGGAAUUUGUCACAGGUUUGAAAACUGUGCUCUUUGCCUUGGCAUUGUAUGACUCCAGUUGUUGCAUUUAUAACCAGAAAAUUAGGUGCUGGGUAAAGUUUCUACUUUGAGAAGCUUAUGAGUUCCAUAAGAGUAGCAUAAUUGUCAUACUAAAUAGAUAGAAUAGACUCUUUCAGUAUCCUGAUAAAUGUAAUGCAUAUUUGCUUUAAUCUUGGGAGAAAGAAUUGAGGGAAAAAAAGGAAACAUACAUAGCUCUAGAGUUACUGAGAAUCCAGUAAUCUCUCUGUUUUUGUUUGUAUCUAUCAUCGACUCGUUUCCAAUUCUGUUUAUCUGUCAGAUUCCCUGUUUCUGUUUGAUGUGCUUAGCCUUCUGAUUUCCACAGGACUUGCUAUAUUUUGCUGUAUGCCUACAACUUUGUCUAGUGGAGUGGCUUUGACACGGGUAACUGAAUGUUAUGAAUUCCCAGAAGAAUGUCUGCUAAUGAUUUCGCAGACCAGAAAGAAAUGUUGCUGUUAGCUUGACUGCAGGUUUGAUUUGAUAAAACACAGCUAGCUGGUGGGAACUCUGCUCUUGCACUUGCGAUGACCUUGAUAUCAAACUUAUUAGGAAUUCUAAUUGUAAGUUCUGGUCUUUUAUUCCUGGACUCUCUAUAGUCUAGAUGUUCACUAUUCUUGCUGCAACGGACUGAAAUGUGUGUUGCGUAUUGGCAUAACAGAUACCUUAUUCUAUCUCAAAAUUCAUAGCUGCUGGAGUUGGGGUAGCUAUUCCAACUGAACAGUUGUUAAGAAGCCUUGUUCUCGCGCUUUUAGUUCCUCUAAUCUUGGGAAAGGUGAAGCUUUACUGUCAAUCUAGUCAAUCUAUAUUUGCAUCCUAAUUCACCCCAUCUAUUUUUUCCAAUCUUAAUAAGAUAAGGAUAUAUACCUUAAAAUCUCUGUAAUGUUAGCAUUUAGCAAUGAGAAAAAUAAUUUGACUUUUCCCAGUCAUGAAAUCUUGCUAACAUUUUUUUCCAGUUACAAUUACUUUCUGCCUUUGAGAUUUGGAUUUCUGACCUCUUAUCUCUAUCACUCUCAAUCAACAGGUUGCUCGAGAACUCUCCAAAGGUGAGAGACCUCUAAACGUAUUUACACCCUCUUGGUGUUUUAAUAGGAUGGUUAAUGAAACUGAUAUUGUAUUUUAUCUGUGAAUACAGAUUCUUUAUUUUUCAUUGUUUUACCAAAAUUCUUGCAGGUAUAGCAGAUUUUGCAGAUGGAAAUCGUAAGCUUUUGGCAGUGAUCAGUGCAAUUUUCCUCAGUUCUGUAAGAUCCACAAUUUUAUUUGUUUUCAAACCGAAAUAAACUUGGCCACCACUUCUAUCUUUAGUGACAUGUGCAGAGUUUGUUAAGUUAAUCUGAGGAAAUUCCUUUUAUGGGGGAGUGAUGUUUGAAUUUUAGCAGUAUUUGACACAUACUUCUCUGCACUUAUGCAUGCAUAAUCUCAUUUUACAGAAUUUUGCAGAAUCAUGACUUAUACUCUUGACUUGAAGCUGUUUAUUAACUGUUAGACAUUAAAGAUCAUUACCGAUCAUAUUCUAGCUGUAAAUAUAAAUGAGUACAUGUCUCUUCCAUUCUUCUUUUCUGCAACAUUUGGCGUUGAUCGACUAAUUUAGAAAUGUGGUUAUUGGCCAAUAAAUUGUUCCCGAAAAGACUAAGAACUGCAUUCAAACCAUUCACUUUUCUACUUCUGUGAUCUUGGUCGUGAUUUUGCACCUCAUCUCUGCCCCUCAUGAAGGCCCCUUGGAUUCAAGUCAGCAGAUCAAGGUCACUUCUUUUGAUGGUGAAGCCUGAAAUUUUUCUCGUAGCUGUUGUCAUGGGAGUGUAUGUAUAUCUUAUUCUUUCUCUUAUAACUUUGUGUUGUCUCUGAAAGAGAAUAUAAGAAGGGUUGUGUCAAAUUGACAUAACAUUUGCUUGCAUGAGACAAAUUUUGAAACUCAGCAAAUAGUUUUGUGAAAUUACUGAGCCAUACAUGAUAUUCCACGCCUAAAAUUGUCUUCUAAUCUCUUUUGUUUUAUUCAUGGCCAUUUGAAGUAAUUGAAUUGAAUGAAAAAACUUGGAUUGCUGUUCUGUGAAUACCCUUUGCUCCAGUUGCUCUUUUUCUGCAAAUACUAAUAAUAUCACAGGGAGUUAUAGCAGCUGCACCAACUAAUCACCUUCCUAACAUGUUGCAGGCUUCUUCAUUUUGCCCUAUUUUCUUUUAAUGCUCUGUUAAUUCCGAGUCUUUCGCUUAUCACUGGAGGCAGUAAGUCGCCUUUCGCCAAGAAAGAAAAUACCAGUGCUCUUCUAUUAGUCGCCAGCCAGGUGAGAUGCGCUUUGCUUGUGUAGUUGAUGUUUUUAUUUAUUUAUCAUUAAUAAUUAAUGAUAAUUUGCACAUUGACAAGCAAAAGUUCUUCUUGACACAGCUAUAGGGAUUUACCUAAACAGUUAUGCUUUUUGCAGAAAACCUUGCCAGUAAUGGUAGCAGUUGUCGAGCAGCUUGGUGGUGCCUUAGGUGCAUCUGGCUUACUAGUCCUUCCAUGUGUGGCAGCUCACCUUAACCAGGUGAACAAAUUUGUCUACUCCUCUCUUAGUCUAGCCUUUGCUUGCUUCAGCUGAUAUGAAUCGCCGUAUUUGUAGAUUAUCAUCGACUCCUUUAUAGUGAGCCUCUGGAAGCAAAAGGAGGGCUCAUUUGAAAACGCCAAGAUAGCAUAGACUCGACACAGAACACCGUGGUCAUGAGAAGUAUGACCGAGCCAUGGAAACCAUGUCUUAAACACUGGGGCGAAGCUAAACGUACACCAGCCCGUUACCAGCGUCGUCUGCACAUCACUUUCCAGGUAGUGCUUCUCAUCCUCUGCAAAUUGAUCUGUAUGUAGAUGUUACUAUAAUUUCAUGACAGAAAAAUACUGGAAAUAUUUUUACUUGUGAGAGAAAUGAGGGAUAUUAUUUUCUAGGAAGGUUGUUACUUGAAAUGUGGAUCAUGAAGUUUCAGCUGUGAAAGAACUACUCUGUUGUAUUUUUUGAAUAGAAUCUUGAAUGAUGAAUCAAUGAUAUUUUACUAUCAGUGAUUAGGGGUGCUUACUUUACAUGAUAUUUUACUAUAAGUGAUUAGGGGCGUUUACUUUCCAUGAAGAACUACUCUGUUAUAUAUUUAUUACUCUCUUCGUCCACCAAUUCAUGUCCUACUUUUCUUUUUGGUCUGUCCACUAAUUCAUGUCCUACCCAUUUUUAGUAAUUAUUUAUACACUUUUUUAAUUGGUGCGUCCCAAUAACAAGUACAUUUUUUCUCCACUCAACUAAUAAAUAAUAUACUUUGUGGAUCUCUUUCUCCACUCAACUAAUAAACAAUACACUUUGUGAGUCCCUUUCUCCAUUUAACUAAUAAACAAUACAUUUUUUUCUUAAAACUCGUUUUCCUCCCCUAGGUCAUGAAUUAGUGGACGGAGGGAGUAUCUAAUAGUGAUAAGGGGUGUUUACUUUUGAUGAUUAGUAAUAUAUGCAUGAUCGAGUAUUUUUAUCCUCAAGAGUAAAUGGGAUAAGAAUCAAGUAAAAUUAACUUAAAUUAUAGAAAUAAUCAAGGGCAGUAAGAUUUCUCAAAGUUCCAAUCCAUCAAAGUAAACAAGGAAUAAACAAUAAUUUACUUUUUGAAUUAUCAUAAAUAUUUUUUUUAAGAAUAAACUAUAAUUUUAAUUUGAAUUAUCAUAAAUAAUUUUUUUUUUAUCUUUGAACUAUCGGUCUUAUAUCAAUUGUACCAUAUAGCUAUUUUUCGGCUCCAAAACAUUGACGUGGCUUGCCGAACUACCACGAUGUAUUAAAAUUUUUUAAUAUGCAUGCCAUGUCAUUAAGAAAUAUUUUUAAAAAAAAUCCCAAAUUUCCCCAACCCUCAUCCCUUCUCCCUCUUCCCUCUCGCCGGACGUCCUCGUCGCCUUCUCCUUCUCUGACGACGUACGCCACAGUACCGUCGUUUUCACCGAGGUAUUCAUUAAAGUAAGAAACAAAAAAUAUAUAACAACCGAAUUAAAAUGUACUAUAGACAAUUAUUAUGGAAUUUUUAUUUGUGAACUGACAAUUAAUAGGAAGGCGAAAGAUGUGCAUUCAAUUCAAUAUCUAAUUGGAGCUGAAAUCAAGUUGAAACAUAUACAUGAAGGAAGAUUUUGUAAAAAAACUUUGCUUUUUCGCGAUCUCAUUUAUGUAUGCUGACUGCAAAAGUUGUUUUACAAAAUUUGAUCUGCCUAUUAUAUCUCUAACAAAUUUUAAUUACAUCUAGUAUUCUUAUUAACACAUAUCUCUAAAUUUUUUUUUUUUUUUUUGAGGGAAUCUUCCCCUUCAUUUCUUGUCAAAAACAAAGGACUCUCUUCUAUUUCCUUUCAACAUUCCGAAAGGAAACAGGAAGGAAGCAAUUGAAUUUUUUAAUUAUUAUUAUUACAAAAUUUCCAAGAAAUUUCCAGCUAGGGAAAAUCAACAGAAAGAAGGGAUCGUAUGGAGUUGAGGUGUUUGCUUUGGUGCAUGCUUCCUAAAGAUAUCAGCUUUAAGGACUUGUACCAUACGUUUCGAAUGAUAGUACGUAAGUUACAACAAAUAAUCAAGUUUCGGCAUCUGCUGCAGCAUCGAAAUUACGUAGAAUUUUCAUCAAUUUUUUUUUUUCAUAUUUAAAUUAGCACUAGGGUGUGGUUGGUCAUUGGAUUUUAUUAGACAUGCAACAAGACAACAAUUUAUGUUCUUCUCGAAACUCAAUAUGAUAUUAUUCACAAUGUAAUGAAAGAUAUUGUAUGCUAAUUAUAGUUGUAGCAAAGCAUGAAGACACCAAUAUUAGAAAAAAAGCGAUAGUAAAGAUCAAAAUAAUGGUCGUUAAAAAUGAUAAUUAUGUCUAGGGGUGUAAUUAAUCGAAUCGAGCCGAACCGAAUAGUGGUGUGCUUAAGUUUGAUUUGUUUAGUAUCGAAUCGAAUCCCGAACUUUACUUACCAAAUACUUUGAGGCUCACGAGCCUAUACGAACUUUCUAAAUUUAUAUUUUAUUUAAAAUAAUAAAUAUAUUAAUUAUUUUCUUAUGAUGCUCUGUUAAUUCCGAGUCUUUCGCUUAUCACUGGAGGCAGUAAGUCGCCUUUCGCCAAGAAAGAAAAUACCAGUGCUCUUCUAUUAGUCGCCAGCCAGGUGAGAUGCGCUUUGCCCACGUUUGGUUGAAUGUUUUUAGAGGUUGGAAAGGGAAUCAAGUAAUUGAAUCCAUUACUUGUUGUUUGGUUUUUAUCCUUAAGAUUAAGAUUUCUCCGAUCCCACUCUUUUAAUGAGAUAAGAAUCAAGUAAAAUAGCUUAAAUGAUAAAAAUAAUUAAGGGUCUUGGAAUAUUCAAAAGUUUCAAUUCAUUAAAGUAAACAAGAGAUGAGUAUUAUUUUAAUCUAUCAAAAUUAAUCUUUCAAAGUAAACAUCCUUACAUAAGUGUGUACUCGUACAAAUUUUGAUAUACAUAUAAUAUAAGAUCCUUACUUAUUUUAUUUGUAAGGACUAAGGAUAAUUUGGUAAUUUUAUGUACGCAUAGGUUUGUUUUAUCAUGAUAUAACAUAUAAAGGCAAUUGAAUCCUUCAUAUCUAAAAUGGUAAAUAUCAUUUUUAACAUCGAUCUAUUUUUACACUCAAAUUUUGUUUUGAAUUAUUGAAUAUAUAUAUAUAUAUAUAUAUAUAUAUAUAUAUAGUANNNNNNNNNNNNNNNNNNNNNNNNNNNNNNNNNNNNNNNNNNNNNNNNNNNNNNNNNNNNNNNNNNNNNNNNNNNNNNNNNNNNNNNNNNNNNNNNNNNNNNNNNNNNNNNNNNNNNNNNNNNNNNNNNNNNNNNNNNNNNNNNNNNNNNNNNNNNNNNNNNNNNNNNNNNNNNNNNNNNNNNNNNNNNNNNNNNNNNNNNNNNNNNNNNNNNNNNNNNNNNNNNNNNNNNNNNNNNNNNNNNNNNNNNNNNNNNNNNNNNNNNNNNNNNNNNNNNNNNNNNNNNNNNNNNNNNNNNNNNNNNNNNNNNNNNNNNNNNNNNNNNNNNNNNNNNNNNNNNNNNNNNNNNNNNNNNNNNNNNNNNNNNNNNNNNNNNNNNNNNNNNNNNNNNNNNNNNNNNNNNNNNNNNNNNNNNNNNNNNNNNNNNNNNNNNNNNNNNNNNNNNNNNNNNNNNNNNNNNNNNNNNNNNNNNNNNNNNNNNNNNNNNNNNNNNAUAUAUAUAUAUAUAUAUAUAUAUAUAUAUAUAUAACUUCGAACUAUCGAUCUUGUAUCAAUUGUACCAUGUAGUUAUUAUUCGACUCCAGAACAUUGACGUGGCUUGCCGAACUACCACGAUGUGCUAAAAUAAUUUAAAUUAGUUUUGAUGUGCCCCAACCCUCAGAGCAUCCACAACGCCCUACUCGAUCUCCCCUACUCGAGUAAGGGCGAGAUCGAGUAGGGCGAUGCACCCCCCCCCCCCCCCCUCACCCCCACUCACUCGAGUGCUACCCGAUAGAACGGGUAAGCACGAUACGCCUUAAAAUUAAAAAAAAAAUAGAAAUUUUAGGAAUUGUUUUUAUUUAAUUAAGGGAUUUAAAAAUUAAUGCAAUUUAAAUUUGAAUUAAAUUGUGUUAUUCAAAUUCGAGGAAUUAAAUUUAAAUGAAAAGCAUAAAAAUUAAAACUAAAAAAAUCAAGUAACCCCACUAUGGAUGCUUUCAUCCCCUUCUCUCUCUCUCUCUCUUCUAACUCUCUUCCCUCUCGUCGGACGUCCUCGUCCCUUCUCCUUCUCCGACAACGUAUGCCACAGUACUCUUGUUUUCUCGUCAAAGUCAAAAAAAAAAAAAAAAACCAAAAAAUCGACAAUAACCAAACACACUUAUUUUAAUUAUUAUGAAAUUUUUAUUUGUGAACUGCCAAUUAAUAUGAAGGCGAAAGAUGCAUUCAAUAAUUGGAUCCCCAUACUCGCAUUGUCAAAGUAUAUUCACCUUCUUUUCUUGUCAAAAGCAAAAGGACUCUCCUCUAUUUCGUUUCAAUCCGAAAGGAAACGGAAGGCAGCAAAUUGAUUGAAAAAUACAAACAAGUUUUUUUUAUUAUUAUUAUUAUUAUUAUUAUUAUUAUUAUUAUUAUUAUUAAAAAGAAAGGACUCUCCUCUAUUUCCUUUCAAUCCAAAAGGAAGGCAGGGAAUGGGAAAAUACGCACAAGUUUCAUAAUUUAUUAUUAUUAUUAUUAUUAUUAUUAUUAUUAUUAUUACAAAAUUUCCAAGAAAUUUCCAGCUAGGGAAAAAAUCAACAGUGAGAAAGGAUCGUCUGGACUUGAUGUUUUGGUGCAUGCUUUGCUUCCUACAAGUCUCAGCUUUAAGGACUUGUACCAUACGUUUCGAAUGAUAGUACGUAAAUGUAGCGUACUAGUUACACCAAAUAAUCAAGUUUCGGCAUCGAAAUUACGUAGAAUUUUCAUCAAGUUUUUAUUUAUUUUUUCAUAUUUAAAUUACCACUAGGGUGUGGUUGGUCAUUGGAUCUUAUUAGAGAUGCAACAAGAUACAAUUAAUUUAUGUUCUUCUCGAAACUCAGUAUGAUAUUAUUCGCAAUGUAAUGGAAGAUAUUGGAUGCUAAUUAUAGUUGUAGCAAAACAUGAAGACACCCCUACUAGAAAAAGCCAUCGUAAAGAUCGAAAUAAUGGUAGUUAAAAAUGAUAAUUAUAUAUGUCGUUAAAUAUACUAACAAUCGAAUUAACCAAAAUUAAGCGUCACGAAUUUGAUGGCCGUUCCUGUAACUAAUGAUCGAAUAGCGAUCGAUAUUAAUCAAAUCAAAUAUACUAAAAUUUACUACAUUUUAUUUGAAAAUAAAUACUUUCGAGGAAUAUAAUCAGUAAUAGUUUCUUGUCGUUGGUCUGAAAAUCAGAAUAAUAAAGAGUGUGUGAUAGAUAAAGAAAAGGUCUUGUAUUUAUUAUCCAAAUAUAUGUAAUAUGCAUAAAUAUACACGGGUUAAAUGUUUUGGGGUGACUUUCAUUUUGCACGUACACUUUCAAUUUUCUCAUAAAAUAUAGUAUGAACUUUACAUGUUUUUUUCAAUUUGUCCAAUUUGAAGUCGAAGAUUUUUCUUUAAAAAAAAAUUAAAAUUCAAACCGUAUUUAAUAUCGUGAUUCGUGAAUGCCAGUGGCAGCACGCAUGGUCAAUCCAUUCGGUAUAAUAAUAAGAAUCUUCUGUAAUAAAAUAAAAAAAUCAUCCGUGUGGCAUAUAUAUCAGUUCGAAUUUAGUCGAAAAUUGCAAAUUUUGAAUAAAAGAAAAUACUUACUCCCUCUGUCCAUGAAAUAGCUUUCUAUAAAGUGAAUUUUAAGAAAAAAAAUUGUUGAGUGUAUUAAGAAUGGAGAAAAAAGGUAUUGAGUGUAUUAAAAGUGGUGAAAAUGUGUUGUAGUUAGUAUUGAUCAACGGUGAAAAUGUGAAAAGGUAAAAGUAAAUGAAGUAAAAUACUACUUAUUUUGCAUGAUUGAUAAAAUGGAUGAUUGAGUAUUUUUAUUCUUAAGAAUAGGAUUAAAUGAUAUAUAAGAUAAAAAUCAACAGUCUUACGAUAUCCCGAAGUUUUAAUUCAACAAAGUAAAUAAAGGAUUAACUUACUAUUUUUAUCUAUCAAGGCUAAUCCUUCAAAGUAAACAACACCCUUUUAAGUGGUGGCGUAUACUGUAUAGUCUAAAAAUAAAUACUCCCUCCGUCCGCCAAAAGUGGACCACUUUGGCUGGACACGAGAUUUAAUAAAAUUGGUGAUGAUUUUGAUGUAGUUGAGAAAUGGUCCCACCACUUUAUGAAAUGUGUGGUUGAGAUUGAAUUUUGGGUGAUUUUUUUGUAAAUAAAGAGUGUUUGUAAGGAUAAAAGAUUAAAGUGGAUGGUGGGACCAUUUCUAUAAAAGGAAAGUGGUACACUCUUUGCGGAUGCCCGAUAUAAUAAAAGUGGUCCACUUUUGACGGACGGAGGUAGUAGAUUUUUUUUUUAUAAACGGAAAUGAAGUCGCCAAAACACUUCAUAUACCCUAACCUUAACUAAUGUAUUAGUUUCACCAUUGUUCCUACACACCACCACAAACGCGUAUUAGAACGCGUAGAAAGAAUCCAAAAUCGAUCGACGGCAUAAACCUAUAUAUAUGUAUUGAUGCCUUCUCCUUCUUCCAAAAAAUACAAUACCCUUCCCAAAAAAAAAAAAAAAUUGAUGCCUUCUCCUUCUUCCAUUAUGUUUCUGCACAUCUCUCUUUACAAUUCCGCGCCUUUGAAGCUGCUGAUUUUCUCUCUCAUCCUCUCCGCCUCUCUCACCAAAACCAACUCCAUCGCGUUAAGCUGCCAUGCGAAGUGCGUCGACUCCAACAUCUCCUAUUCGCUGGGGAUGUUCGCGCUCGCGCCGCUCUUCGCCGGCACUUGGAUCGUGUGGUUGCAGCACAAGAGUAAGCUCGAGCGCCACCGAUUGAGCUUGUUCGACAGAAAUGGCGGAAACCUAUUGAAGAAGAAGCUAUCCAAUCGCAGGAGAUCGAGAUCGAGCACCUCAAAAUAUACACAGCUCAGGAAAUGGAGAUCGCCACCGACAAUUUCAGCGGCACCAGAUCGGUAAUGCAGAGGUGCAAGCCGGGGAAAUUCUACCGCGGAACCUUCGAGAACAAUCGAGAGGCCGUUGUGAUGAAGAUUCCGUCGCCGGUGCCGCAGUCGAGAAUCGAGCAGUUCGUGGACGAGGUGAUCUUCCUCUCCGGGGCCCACGGGAGUCUGGUUAGGGUUUUGGGCUGCUGUUUGGAGACGAGCUCUCCCUUGGUGGUUUACGAGCUCCACGGCGACGGAAACCGCACGCUCGCCGACUUCGGCACGCGCCGCGGCGGCGCGUGCGUGCUCCGGGCGGCCGCGGCGGCGGUGAGGGGGCUUGCCGACCUGCGGUCGCGGAAUGCGAGGGCGGCGGGGUUCCUCCACGGCAACUUCUGCGGCGGCAACGUUUUGUUGGAUGAUUCUUUCGAUGCGAAGCUGUUCUACGCCGCCGCCUCCGGCAGCAACCUCGUCGUUGAUCAUCGAGAUCGCGGUGGUUUCGAUGACAAGGACGUGUGUAGCUUUGGGGCGGUGCUGGAUGAGCUGAUGCCGACGUGUCAGAGUGACGGGGAUCUCGACACGCAGCUGCUGUCGGAGGAUUUGGCGGCGGCGGAAGUAGUUUAUGUGACGGAGGUUGCCGCCAUGGCGGCAAGAUGCAAGAGUGUACGGCCGGAGGAAAGGCCUACCUUGACUGAACUGGAAACUACGCUAAGUAGAUCGAUUAAUUGCUUGCAAAAAUAAGCUAAUUUUUUUCGAGCUUGCAGAAUUGGAUCAAUUAUUUUAAAUUUCGAAAAUUUAAAAUAAUUGAUCAAAUUUUGUAAAUUCAAAAGAAUAGAGUUAUUUUUACAAAUUAUCCUAAGAUAGUGGUCUAAUUUUUAUUUUUUUUUAAUUUCGACAUUACGUGUAGAGGAAAUUGAGCUAGUGAGUGGUUUUUUCGGAUGAAAUCCUCUGUCCCAACUCUGUAUACCUACAUUGGAAUUCAUUGUUUGUUGUUAUAAAGAUGUAUAUAUACAAUCUUUCUAAAUUGAUGAAAACUUCUCUUAGCAAAUUUGUGUACAGCUUGAUUUAGAUUCACUAAGAUCCCAAUGGUAGGUAAUGUUCCUUUAUUUUAUGAAAGUCUUUAAUUUUUGAAGUAAAUAAGAUAUUAGGUUGUUAUAAUCAUCUUACACUUAUCAAUUAUCAUGUCUAGCUAAGCCCUUGUAUAUCUAAGUAAAUUUGAUUAAUCUAAGUAAAAAUAUUAUGCUUUUUUAGAAUAAAUAAUAUUUAAAAAAAUAAUUAAUAUUUAAAUCUAAAAGGUUCUCUUAGACUAAAGUAAGUUUCAAAUAAAUUCGUGUGCUUUGAAGAUUCAAUAAAUAAAAAAUUCUAAAUAAAAAUUCGUGUGCCCUCAAAAAAAAAAGAUUCAAUAAAUAAAAAAUUCAAGCUCAAUUCUUUUUUUUAGGCAAAAUUGAUUACUAGUAAAUAAGUCUAGAUUUUUAGCCUAGAUAUGUUUCCUCUCUCUGACUAUUUGGGGAAGAUAAGAUUGUUGGGCUUGACUUGGGCCCUCAUUAGUUUGGGGAAGAUAAGAUUGUUGGGCUUGACUUGGGCCCCUCAUUAGUUUGAGCCCAUUCAUUAUUAACAAAAAAAGAAAUAGGAGAUAGCUCAGACAUAAAAACAAAAGAUCAAAAGGGUUGCUGAUUAUUUUCAGUGGGGUGAUUUUAAACAUUGUGCUAUUAUAUAUACUUAUAUACUAUAAAAGUUCAUGUUUUAAAUUUUGAUAAAUAAUUAAACCCUAUCAUUUGUCUCCUACUAUUGUAUAUUAGUUUCUCUAUUGAAUUAAUAUUUAUUUUAAAAAUAAAAUGUUAGUACUUAUUUACUACUCCUACAAAAAAGUUUUUUUAAAAAUAUAUAUGCUGAUUUCGAAAUAUUCAACCCAAAUAAUCAUGCUUUAACUUAAAAACUUGCAAAUUAAAUGUAAAAAACUAAUUAAAAGCCAUAAUUUAAUUAGUGAAUCCUAGUUAAUAGUAGUAAUAAUUAUAAAAUGAAACUAAAUCACACUAUAUAUGUUGAAAUUGACAAAACUUUAAAAAAACAAUUACAAAAAUUGAUAGUGGGACACACUCCCUCAUCCUCUACAAGAUUUUAUCUGUAUAUAGGAAAGAUUGGAGGGGUGUAUAUGGCAUAGAGAUCUAGAGAGAGAGAGUAUUAACUAAGACAUUUUCAUCCCAUAAAACACAACAUAUAGUAAUAAUUUGGAGUUGCAGCUUAAAAAAGUGAUGAAGAAAAUCAAGCAGCAUACUUACCAUACAUCAAACUUGAGCUAUGGACUGUAUAUCUUUGCUAGCUUCCAAGAAACUUUCCAUCUAUGAGAAAUGUGAGCUCAGAAAAAGGAUUCUUAAUUUGAAGCUUUGAGGUGUGGAAGCUUUGAAGCAUGAGAGUUGUUUAUACAAAAGAUGUUUUAGAAACUGCAGCAGCAUUAAUGUAAGCUUAAAUAUACCCUUUAAAAAAAGACUUCAUCAUUUUCCAAGUCAACUAUAAUGAGACAAAGACCUUAAGAGAAGACUAAGAAGCCUUUGAACAAGUCAGAUUCAUCUAGAUCUGUUCAUACCUGAAAUUUUAUUUACAUUUUUUUAUUUAUGUUCAAUCUAAAAAGAAAUACUCCAUCCGUCCCAAUUCAAUACGCCAAAUUUCCUUAUUUAGAUGUAACAAUUCCAAUUGUAUAUAUAUCACCAGUUGAAGUAUAGGAUUUUUUUUUCCACUUUAUUUUUUUAUUUUUUUCUUGUUAGCUAAAUUCCAAGGUAAUUUACUACGAAAAUGCAAUUUUGCAAGGCAAUUUUAUCAAGAAACAAUGUAGUCAAAUGACCAUAAUGAAGAUUGAAAAUCAAUUUUUGGCCCAUAAUCUUAAAACAUCAAAAUAUGGUCAUUAGUUAGGUGGUAUGCCUAAUUUGCCCUUUUUACUCGGCCGCUGGGGUGAUUGCGCGGCCGCUGGAAGCUUAUGGGUGAGUUGCACGCUCGCGGAGAAAAGCCAGCGCUCGCUGCGCGUAUGGCACUAAUAGUGCUAUAAAUUAGUGCCAUAAGUGUCAUACACAUAAAUUAGUGCCAUAAGUGCCAAAAGAACCAUUUUAAACACUUUUCCGUAGGAUUUAGAUGUUCCAUUUAGGGUUUAGAUGUUCGAUUUAGGGUUUAGAUUAUCCAUUUAGGGUUUAGAUGAUCCAUUUAUGAUUUUUUUAAUUCUAUUAGUGUUGUUUGUGUUGCACGUAUGACAAUUAUGACACUAUUAGUGCCAUAGGUGCCAAAAUGACCAUUUUACUUGGUUUUAAUUUGGAUUUCCGUUGUCACUUAUGGCACUAUUAACCCGACCCGGCACGCGACCCGCGUGCCUGAUCCUACCCGGUCCGCCUCAUUAAGGGUAAAAACGUCCAAAUCAGUAAAAAUGAUCACAUUUUAUGUUUUUUCAAUGUGUGGCCAUAAAUUGUGUUUUAUGCUUUAUUUUGGCUACUUCAAAAUUUUACUUUUUUAUCAAUAUAUUACAAUAAUGCAAAGAGGUUAAACAAACCUUUAAAAAUAAAUAUUUUCUCAUAAAUAAGUUUUAUUGUCUGAGACUUGGCUGUAUCAUUCAGCUAAUUAAGUUAUGCUUGCUUUUGAGCUCUAGAAAUUUUUGAAGAGAUUUUUUACUGAAAUCUUUUAGGGUAAAUAUCAUUUAAAACCUCAAACUAUUUUCGCACUGUCAAGUAUAUCCUGAACUAACGAAAAUGAUUUUUUAAACCUUGAACUAUCAAUUUUGUAAUAAUUGUACCAUUCAUCCAUUUUUUUAGCUUCAAAAAUUUAGAAAUUUAUCUUCAUUCAAAAAUUUGAUGCAUCAUGAUUCAACAUCACUAGAAACUGUUGCAGUGUAUUUGGCUUUGAAGGAAGAUAAAGUUUUGAAGAGAUUUUUACUUAAAAUCUUUUAUAUUAGAUAAAGGGAAAAUAACGCCAAAAUUCACGAACUUUUACCCGAUUCUCGUUUUUCCCACGACUUUUAAAAGUUAGACAAAUAUACGCAACCUUUUGAUAGAGUCUGAUUUUUUCCACGAUGAAUUUUUCCAACAAUUGUAUCUUUCUCUGAUUUAUCUUCUUCGAAAGAAGCAUUCAUCAUGUUGCUUUUUAUCCACCAACCCUCUGGUUCUUAGAUGCUCCAAAGCAAUAUUGUCCCUUUCAAGCUUCAACUUCUGAAAACAGAGCUUGUAAUACGACGUAAGCUCCGGAUCGACCCAUUUGCAUAAUUUAUGAAUUGCAACCAAUUUUUACCUUUUUUUUUUAACACAAAAACGGCAAUGUUUUUAACAGCUGAAAAGGACGUCUUUUGAUUCGCCGAACGACGUUGCCAUGUUGGCAAUUCUGAGUGCCACCUAAGCUUUAAAUUGGGCAAAAUUAAUAAUCGUGGAAAAAAUCAGAAUCAAUCAAAAGGUUGUGUAUUUUUAUCUAACUUUUAAAAGUCAUGGUAAAUACGAGAAUCGGUAAAAGUUCGUGAAUUUUGACGCUAUUUGCCCUUAGAUAAACAAUUGAUAAGAUUACAAAUGAUUUUCUCCCUACAUACAUACAUAGUUGAAUCACAUUGAAAUCAAACGCACUCUCAUCACAUCAUCCCUAUGCUUAUAAGCAAGUAUAGCAAAAACAGUUUGUGUUAAGGUGAGCAGCAGCAGCACUGCAGCAGCAACGAACUUGAUCACGGACCACGGACUAUUGAAGUAGUUUCGCCUCAAUUUCGCCAUCCAUUUAUUGUGCCGGCGGCCACAAUGCUUGUUCAAGCUCACAAAGACAUCAGNNNNNNNNNNNNNNNNNNNNNNNNNNNNNNNNNNNNNNNNNNNNNNNNNNNNNNNNNNNNNNNNNNNNNNNNNNNNNNNNNNNNNNNNNNNNNNNNNNNNNNNNNNNNNNNNNNNNNNNNNNNNNNNNNNNNNNNNNNNNNNNNNNNNNNNNNNNNNNNNNNNNNNNNNNNNNNNNNNNNNNNNNNNNNNNNNNNNNNNNNNNNNNNNNNNNNNNNNNNNNNNNNNNNNNNNNNNNNNNNNNNNNNNNNNNNNNNNNNNNNNNNNNNNNNNNNNNNNNNNNNNNNNNNNNNNNNNNNNNNNNNNNNNNNNNNNNNNNNNNNNNNNNNNNNNNNNNNNNNNNNNNNNNNNNNNNNNNNNNNNNNNNNNNNNNNNNNNNNNNNNNNNNNNNNNNNNNNNNNNNNNNNNNNNNNNNNNNNNNNNNNNNNNNNNNNNNNNNNNNNNNNNNNNNNNNNNNNNNNNNNNNNNNNNNNNNNNNNNNNNNNNNNNNNNNNNNNNNNNNNNNNNNNNNNNNNNNNNNNNNNNNNNNNNNNNNNNNNNNNNNNNNNNNNNNNNNNNNNNNNNNNNNNNNNNNNNNNNNNNNNNNNNNNNNNNNNNNNNNNNNNNNNNNNNNNNNNNNNNNNNNNNNNNNNNNNNNNNNNNNNNNNNNNNNNNNNNNNNNNNNNNNNNNNNNNNNNNNNNNNNNNNNNNNNNNNNNNNNNNNNNNNNNNNNNNNNNNNNNNNNNNNNNNNNNNNNNNNNNNNNNNNNNNNNNNNNNNNNNNNNNNNNNNNNNNNNNNNNNNNNNNNNNNNNNNNNNNNNNNNNNNNNNNNNNNNNNNNNNNNNNNNNNNNNNNNNNNNNNNNNNNNNNNNNNNNNNNNNNNNNNNNNNNNNNNNNNNNNNNNNNNNNNNNNNNNNNNNNNNNNNNNNNNNNNNNNNNNNNNNNNNNNNNNNNNNNNNNNNNNNNNNNNNNNNNNNNNNNNNNNNNNNNNNNCCCCCAAGCAUUGAUCAUGGGCCAGAAUCGGAAUCGGAAUCGCUCUGAAUAGUCUGAUUAAGGGCCUGGAUUUUUUAAACCUUGAAUCGACGAUUAACCGUCGGAUCGAACCGUUGAUUUAAGUUAAUAGUCUAACCAUCGGUUAAUCGCUAAUUUAUAAUAUUUCAAUUUAUGAUUUUAAGGGUUAAUUUUCCUAUAAAUACACAAGUUAUACCCGAAUUUUGGUUCAUACCAUAUCUAUUUUUUGGUCAAAAAAUACAUAAACUUUUAAUAUUUUGAAUUUGACGUAACUUUAGAAGUUCGUUGGCCAAUAACUUAAUUGUCUGAAUUUUGAUGGACAAUCCUAAGCAACUGUUGUAAAACUCUUGAUGUUAUCUUUCUAAUGAUGGGUUUUAGUCAGCGGAAGUGAUCGGAAAAAAGAUAAAAUAUAGAGUUUCAUGAUCUCAACUUUCAUGCCAUUUUUAUUUACCAUUUCUGGUGACCAAAACCCAAUAAUGCAAGUACCAUAGAAAAAUAACGUCAAGAUCUUUCCAACGGUAUCUUCGGAUUGUCCAUCGUAAUUAAGACAAUCAAGUUAUUAGACGACAAACUUUAGGCUCAAAUUCCAAAAUUAUAAAAAUUUAUUUAUUUUUUGACCAAAAAACUAAAAUUUGUCAAAACCCAAAAUUUAGAUAUAGGUCGUGUAUUUAUAGCCUUAUAGACCCGGAAUCUUCUCCAUACUAGAGGGGCCCAUGUACUGUGAACAACCGGUUCAAGCUCGAAACCGACGGUUCUCGGCCUAUGGACAAUCCUACUUGCAAUUAUGAAGAGGAUAUAUUUAUUAGAGGUGAGCCGAAUCGGAUAACAACGAUCGGUUCGGUCAGGUUGGAUCGUUUUUGACAUUGAAAUUUGGAAUAGGUCGGUUUUUAUCAGUUUGGUUUCGAUUCUGGGUGGCACAGCCGGCGAAAACGGGCAUUUUUGGAGACUGCCAGAUUCGGUCUGUUUUUAUAAUCUUGUCGGUCCGGGUCGGUUGUAGCUUCACUCUCUUCUCGGUUUUCGAUCUCAGCGGUUCGGUCCGAUUCGGUUCGGUCCGGACCGAAUGCACAUUCACUAUGAAAUUUCGCAUGAACUUUCUUAAGCAAGAAGUCUUUCACAGUGAAGUUCCUGGAAAUUUACCUAAUUAAAAUACAAUAAUUUCUGUUUGGUUGCACCGAACACUCAUUUUGUCAAUACAAUAAUGAAAAAAGUUCUUUAAAAAGAAAAUAACGCGAAGAAAUCAGCUGCAGCAACCAACAACUUAAUGAACAACUUUUGUCGUGUUUCAGCCACUCAAAUUCCCUGGUGAUAAUCUAGUAAGUAUGCUCUACAUUAAUUUGUUUAUCUUGUAAGUUUCAAUAACAAAAUAAACCUAUGUAGAUUGCUACAUGUUUAAUAUUUUUAUGGUGUUUUCUUCUUUUGUAGCAUAUAUAUUUUCUGGUUUCUUGGCUUAAUUCUUGAAGAUGACAGAGGAGAGAGACUGUGUUGUUGUUAGGAUUGAAAACUUGCUUCAUCAUUUGUCUACUUCUCUCACUCCCUCAAAGCCUAUCAUAGCUAAAGUAGAUCAACACCUGAGGCAAGUAAAUGAAAAGGAUUUUGAACCCGAAUUAGUCUCUAUAGGUCCAAUCCAUCGUGGGAAAGAUCGCGUUAAGGCCAUGGAGCAACACAAAGUGAGGUAUCUAAGCAAAUUGUUGGGAAGAAGAGAUGAGUUGAGCAUUGAGAAAUGUGUGUUGGAAGUGAGAAGCAUGGAGGAAAAGGCUCGCCUUUACUACGCGAAAUCAAUCAGUCUUGAUCAAGAUGAGUUCGUGGAGAUGUUGCUUCUUGAUGGAUGCUUUGUGAUUGAGCUGCUAAGAAGCUAUUGGUUUAGUGAUUUGAGAGACAAGAAUGAUCAAAUAUUUCAAUUUGAUCACAUGUUAGUCCAAAUAAGGCAUGAUCUUCUGUUGUUGGAGAACCAGCUCCCUUUCUUCGUGUUGAACGAGUUUUUCGACAUGACAAGGAUGGAACAUCCAGACGAUGACAUACACCAUCUCCUCCUCUUUCUAGCCGGAGACAUGUUCCCAUGGCCGGAUUCCUCAAUGCUCAACUCGAGUUCAGAUAUGUUACACAAUGCUGAGCAUCUAUUAGGCCUACUUUAUCAUUCUUCAUUCUCAUUCUCAUUCUCAUUCACUGAAAACAACGGUAGCAACACGUGCCUCGUGGAGCCAUGAAACUCCCACCAUUAUGCAUAUCUGAUAAAUUCUUCAUUCAUGCAUUACUAAUUUCAUAAUUUAUCUUUUAUUAUUAUUAUUAUUAUUAUUGACAAAACUGAAACAAAUAAAGUUUUUAGAUAUGAAAAAUAUAUUUUUCUUCCCUAUACAAAUAAAAUAUAUGGAUAUAUUUUAUAAAAAAUAAAAAUAAAAUUUUAAUUAUUUUGAUAGACAUAAAAUAAGAUUUUGUUUUAAAGUAAUCAGGUUAUAGAAUUUGUGCCUUAUUAUUCAAACAUGUAAAUCAAUGACAGAACCCGUUUAUAAUUUACAUACACGUGCAUGUCUCAAUUCAAAAUCAAUUUAAAAUUAAUUAUAUUGAAAAUUACAUAUAAUAUAUACGCUUUUGAGAAAUAUAAAAUUAAUAACAAAUAUACAUCUAAUACUAACAUUCAAUUAAAACCAUUAUUUUAUAAAUCAUAAGUCCCACGAAGCAGACAUGUAAAUCUAAUUUUUAUCGAGAUAAAAUAAAUAAUAAAAUUUAUUAAUUUAAAUUAUAUGUAAGUUAUUAUUAUUAUUAUUAUUAUUAUUAUUAUAUAGAUUAUAAUUUUAUUUAUUAUCAUACAUGUAAAUUAAUUUUUAUCUAGAUAAAAUAAAUAAUAAAAAUUUAUUAAUUUAGAUUAUAUGUAAGUUAAUAUUAUUAUAUAUAUAUAUAUACACACAUUUAUUACUAAUUAUAUUUAUUAAGAUUAAUGAAUCUUUAUAUGGAAUGUAAUAGUUAAUUAAUUAAUAAAUAAUGAAGAUUAUAUAUGACAAAUUAUUGAAAUGAAAUAAUUCUAAGCAUGUCACAUAGGUUAAGGCUUAAUUCUAUCAUAAAGAAGAUGGACCGGCACUAUUUACCGGUCUAGAUAAUCCGGUACAAAACUCGGUGGGUUUUUACCUUGGGACACGUGUUUUAAUCUGGGGCAACUCAGCAAAGACUUUUCCCCCAUUGUUGAACCUCCACCGCGGGGGGGCUUGGAAGUUGCGAAUGCCAUAAUCCAUGUGUUUGUCAGUCAGAGUUUGCCUCCAUAGUUGACUUGGAAAAUGAUGAAGUCUAUAUAAAACUCCUCAUGCUUCAGCGCUAUACAGCGCCUCAAAGCUUCAAACGUUCCUUUGUCUGAGCUCACAUUUCUCAUAGAUGGAAAAUUUCUUGGAAGUUAGCAAAGAUACAGCAAGCAUACCAAGACGAGAUCUAUGGUAAGAUUUUCUUCAUCAAUUUUAUAAACUGCAACUCCAAAUUUCUGUUUUAUCGGAUGAAAUUCACGAAUAUUGCUUUGAUUCUAGUUAAUACUCUCUCUCUCCCUCUCUCAGCCAUACACCCUCCAAUGUUUCCUACAGAUAAAAUCUGAUAGUGUCUCUAGGGAUGUCAAUCGGGCCAGUCCAUCAGGUUUUCGGGCUAGUCCUAUCGGGUUCCGGGUUAGUCGGGUGCGGGCUAAUCGGGUUGGAGAUUUUUUCGAUUGUAAAUCUUCAACCCUAACUCUAAACUUUCGGGUUUCGGGCUAGCCCAUCGGGCUAAUCAGGUUAAAGGCGUAAAAAUAAAAUUAUAAUUUGUAUUUUAUUAUUCCUAAUGAUCUAAUGUAUAAUGUAUAAAAUAUACAUAGAUAUUAAAUAUAUAAAUUAUAUAGCAAAGCAUGAAAUGCAAAAAUAUAAGAUAUUCAAGAUUACAUAAACAAAAUUAUAUUAAAAUGAGAUAGUAAAAUUUAACAUGUAUCAAUGCAUUAGAAUCAAUAUGGAUUAUUACUGAAUAAUUAGUGGAUUUGCCAUGCACGUCUCAUUGACAAGAAAAAAAAAUGGUAUCACUUUAAAAUGAGAUACUAAUAAUUAAUUUCUAACUAAUGAGAUACUAAUAAUCAAUUUCUACAAAAAAUCCGUAAUUAAUUUCACUUUUUUUAAUGAGAUUGCACACACACACACACACACACACACACACACACACACAUAUACUAACUAAUUAAUUACUUACUUUUAGUAGUAGACUAAUAUAUAUAGUUAAGCAAAUACCAUAGAUCUAAACAUAGCAGAAGUUGUAACUGGAUGCAUUAGUCACAAUUCCGUCACGCCCACCGGGCCAGCCCAUCGGGUUUUCGGGCUAGCCCUAGUCCGGGUUCGGGUUAGUCGGGUGCGGGCUAAUCGGGCUGGGUAGGUUUUUUCGGGUUGCGUAUUUUUCAACCCUAACCCUGUAAUUUUGUCGGGUUAUUCGGAUCGGCCCACGGGUUUCGGGCUGCAUUGACAUCCCUACGCGUGAGUAAAAAAAAUGAGUUUUUUCCUCUCUUUUCUCUCUCUCUUCUCCCGCCAAUUUUUCUCUUUCUUCUAUUUUUAUUUUAUUUUAAUUUUUUUUCUAAAUAUCAACAGAUUUGAUUUGUGAAAAAAUAUUCAAUAUUGAUCUUAAAUUUAAGUUCGUGACAAGAUUUUUAAUAUAGUAUAAAAAUUAUUCAAAAAGAUUCAAAACAAAAAAGUUAUCAAAAAACUAAAAUAUAAAAAUUCUAGAAUCUUGCUCCAGGAAUUGGUUAGGAGUUAAAAAGAGAAUCACCUGCUUUACCACUAUGUCUCCUGCUCCAACCUCAAUUCUUUGCAUGCNUUCAUUAUCGAAUAAUUUUUAAAUUUAUUUAAUAACUAUAAUUAUCAAUAUAUUUUGUAUUAGUUGAAAAUUUAUAUUUUUAAAUUCAAAAUUUUAUUGAGUAACUUAUGUGAAUUACUAUUAUAUUUUAUUUAUAAAACAUAUUUUGUAUUUAUUUAUAUUUUGAUUUUUUAUUUAUUUAAAUUUUCAUUUAAUUUCGAUAUCCAUCGUCGAUCAUACGUAUGGGCGUAUACUAGUUAUUAUUAAAUGAGAGGAUAUAGUGAAAAUUUUGGAAGCCAUGUUUAAAAUCACCCACCAAAAUAAUCGGCAACUCUUUUGUUUUCUUUUUGGGCUAUUUCCUUCUUCGUCUUUUGUUAUUUACAAUUAGCUUGGCUCAAACUAAUGAGUCCAAGUUCAAGCCCAACAUUCUUCUUUUGCUUGUGUUUUUAAUUAGUUGGGCUCAAACUAAUGAGGGCCCACAAACAGUAGACAUAUUAGCCCAAUUUAUAACCGGAACUCAUGCUGGCUGUGGGGGUUGUAAUCAACUCGAGCUAGCAAACUUAGGGCUGUUAAAUGGGCCGGAUCAGGUCAGCCUGGCCCAGACUCACUGAGCUAUCAACUUGUACCGGAUCAGCUUGACCCGGCCCGAAAUAUGAUUGGGUUGUAAAUCAUAACUAAAUUGGCCUAAUAUUUUUUUUUAUAUGAAAUGUUAAGACUUAUAAAUCUAUGGCUUAUAAAUAAAUAUAUCCAUCAAAUAAAUUAUCUAAUAAAAGUAAUGAAUAGAUAGAUUUUCUAAAAUAAUAGAUUAUCAAAUAAAAUAACAUUAAUUACAUGUAUAAAUAAAUAUAUUCAUUCAAUAAAAAUAAUUAAUCAAUAGAUUUUUUAAAAUAAUAGAUUAUCAAAUAAAAAAAUAUUUACAAUUAAAAAAAAAAAGGAAAAACACCUAAUUCACGAACAGUAUCCAUUCACUUAGCUCAUCUUCCAAUUCUCUCAAAGUAGGCCUUUCCUCCACUGCUCCGCCACUCUCCUCAUCAUCAACAGCUCCAGACACCGAAUCUCCCCCAUUUUCCGACGCCCUCCGCCACGGAAGAAGUUGGAGCAGGCGGGGAAGAACGCCUGCGCGGCCGCCGCGCAUGCAGCCGGGAAGCGCGUGGGUCCCAUCUACGUGGAGCUCGUAAACUAGCAACGGAAAACUCGUCUCCAAACAGCACCCCGAAAUCCUAGUUUCGUUUCCGCGGCGUAGAGAGCGACGGAUCACCUCGCCGAUGAACUGCUUGAUUUUCGAUUCCGGCACCAGCGUCGGAAUCUUCAUCACGACGGCCUCUCGAUUAUUCUCGAAGGUUCCGCGGCAGAAUUUCCCGUCCGUCUCACUGUAAUUGUUGGUGGCGAUCUCCAUUUCCUGAGCUGUGUAUAUUUUGAGUUGCGCAGAUCUCGAUCUCUUGCGAUUGGAUAGCUUCUUCUUCAGUAUGUUUCCGCCAUUCCUGUCGAACAAGCUCAUUCUGUUGUGCUCGAGCUUCCGUCUCCGAUGCGUCCAAACGAUCCAAGUGCUCGCGAAGAGGGGCGCUAGCACGAACACCCCCAAUAAGUAGGGGAUUUUGGAGUCGAUGAUGCAGAUUCCAUGGCAGCUCCGCAAGGCGACCGAGGUUGUUUUGGUGACGGAGGAAGAGAGGGUGAGAGAGAAAAACAUCAACUUGAAAGGAACGGAAUUGUGGAGACAGAUUUUCAGAAGAAUCUUCAAAGGGGUGGUGGUUGGACAAGAUAGGAGACAAGAGUUUAAAAGUGCAAACAUAGUAUAUGAAAAAAAAAGAGGGUUAAUAUGUAAAAACAUAUAUAUACAAAAAAAAGGGGGUUAAUAUGCAAAAACAUCCUAACGUUAUAUAUCACUCUAACUAUACUUAAGUCCCUAAUCUAACGUUGAUAGCAACUAACACCCCAAAGUUCAUUAAGUACUACAAUUAAACCCAUAACAAAAUUUCUUGUUAUUUGAUACUAGUAUCUGACCAUAAUCUAGUCAAAUAUAAAAGAAAAUAAAAUUAAAUAAGUUGGCGAAUACUUAGUAAUUAAGGAAAAAGAAAAAAAUGGUGUAGGCACUCUUUUGGAAAUUGGAAUUGGAACCAGCAAUUUUGCUAUCUUUCUUUUUUCUUUGUUUUCGUCUGAUGUUCUUCUUCUUCUUCUUCUUCUUCUUCUUCUUCUUCUUCUCUUUUUUAUUUGUUUUUUUAUUUGUUUUUUUUAAUACUGUUUUUUCUUAUCUUUCUUUAUAUACUAGUGUGUAACUCGUCGAAAUUCGACGAGAAACCAUUGCACAUCAUAAUUAUUAUUGUAUAUUAUUUAUAGUUAUUGUAUAUGAAAUGAUCUUUAUAUAUAUAAAUUAUUUUUUAAUUAAUUUUGUUUCAUCAAAAUAAAUUGUGUAGAUUGCCUUUACAUGUAAGUUUUUAUUUGAUAAAAUUUCACAAAAAAUUGAUGUGAUGUUGAAGAUUUUAGAAAAAAAAGAUUUAGGUAUAUUUGAAAUAGGAUAUAAUGAAGAAUUGAUAGAUUGUACUUUUUGUUAAUAGUAUGUAGAAAAGAUUUACCUUCAACCAAUCUCACUCGAUAAUCUUUAGGUUUUCUCCCAACAAAAAAAAAAAAAGAAAGACAUGCAAAUUAAACCUAACAAAAUAUUACUACUUCCAUUUUCCCAUAUUUGGCCUAUAUUUUUAAGGUCAAUGAAAGUGGGCUAUAAUUUGUCUCCAAACAGCAGCCCGCAAUCCUAAUUACAUUUCCGCCGCGUAGAGUGCGACGGAUCACCUCGUCGAUGAACUGCUUGAUUUUCAAUUCCGGCACCAGUGACGUACGGAAUCUUCAUCACGACGGCCUCUCGAUUAUUCUCGAAGGUUCCGCUGUAGAAUUUCCCCGGCUCUCUGUAAUUGUUAGUGGCGAUCUUCAUUUAGGAGAGAUGCGGCCGGCUGUUUAGGUUUUAAAUUAUACUACUAGAAUCCAAUUUUUUACUUUUUAUUCAUAUUCAUUUUAUUUCCUUCUUAUCUUUUUUUUAUAUUUUUUUAUUUUUAUGUCCAAAUCAAAAGUUGCCUCCAAGAUGAUGAAUUUUUUGAUAAUUAACCAUUUUUUAUACUACUAUUUUAUUGCAAUUUUUGCUGGAUGAGUUUGUUGAUCAGAUGUUGCUGGCUUUCUCAUUGAUCUUGUUAUUGUUAUAUAGUAAUGCUCUAAGCGUGUAAUUAAAUAACCAAUAAUUGCACCUAAUCUUUUCUUAUAGCUACGUGGAUUCAGCAUCAUAUGUUUCUGAUUUCUUUGCUUCAAUUCUAGAUUUUAAUAUAUUUGUGAUAUUUUUUUUUUGGUAAUUGAUGUAUAAAUACAUAAAUUUUAGUCAUUUUUUGGUAUUUAACAUGAAUUUUAAAAUCUAGUUAUAAAUGCAUGAAAUUUAAAUUUAUUUAAUUUUUGACCCAUUUUUUAUAUCUGAUAAAAUUAAUGCUGAUAUGUCAAAAUUAGAACUUAGUUAGCAAAUUAAUUCUCUAGCUAGCAUCUGACUAAGAAAUUUCUUCUCCUCCAUUCAAUUUAUACAAAAAAAACCCUUUCACUUUUACAAAAUAUAAUAUAAAGAGUAAUUUUUUAUUUGUGUGGACUGAGGUGUUGUCCUCGUCGGUUUUUGANAAUUCUCUAGCUAGCAUCUGACUAAGAAAUUUCUUCUCCUCCAUUCAAUUUAUACAAAAAAAACCCUUUCACUUUUACAAAAUAUAAUAUAAAGAGUAAUUUUUUAUUUGUGUGGACUGAGGUGUUGUCCUCGUCGGUUUUUGAAAGCAAGGGCGGUGGCGAACCACCAUUCGAGGCCCCUGGAUCUGAUGUUUUUUUUGUAAAGGGGUUUUUUUUGCAUAAAUUGAAUGGAGAAGAGGAAAUUUAUUAGUCAGAUGCCAGCUAGAGAAUUAAUUUUGCCAACUAAAUUCUAAUUUUGACAUGUCAAUAUUAAUUUCAUCAGAUAUAAAUAUCGGGUCAAAAAUUAAAUAAGUUUAAAAUUCAUGUAUCUAUAACCAGAUUUUAAAGUUUAUGUUAUAUACCAAAAAGUGAGUAAAAUUUAUGUAUUUAUACGCUAAAUACUUUUUUUUUUCAAGAAAGAAAGAUAAUUAGCUAUUCAACGCCGGAGGAAAACAUGUAAUUUGGUGUUGCAUUCACACAAAGUAAAUUUCCAAGAACUUUCCUACCAGAGAACUCAAAUAUUUCAAGAAGGGCUCCUCUAAACUGUCACCCAAAAUUUAUUCCCACAUUAGUAGAGGAGGGAAUUGGAAAAUACGCAAUUCAUAGAAACUAAAUUGCAUGGAGGAUUAGGCCAUAUAUAUAUGCACUUGCAGGAAAACAACAUGAAAUUUCCAUUUCUUUUCAACUGGUAGAAAACCACCAUGAAAUUUUCAUCUCAACGGACAACGCGUAUUCAAUUUUACAUUUUUUUUUCUUUUCCUCUAAUAAAAAGAAAUUAAAAUAGGAUGAAAUAUAACUAUAAAUAUACAAUCGAAGAAAUUAAUCAAAACAAUGAUAUGGCUACGUUGUGAUCAAUUUAUUUUCAGUUGGAUUCUUGCUCCCAAAUUUGGAGCACCUUUGAAACUCUGUUUCAUUCUCAAUUGAAAGCUUCGAUCUUUGCAUCUUGUAAUGGGACGGAAGGAGUAACAAUUUAUUUUAAAAUAAAUAUUAAUUCAAUUAAGAAAUUAAGAAUCGUAGGAGAGAAAUGAUGGGACAAAGAGUUGGGACAUCUGAUUCUAAUUAGUUUCCUGAUGGCUAGGUUUAAUUAUUACUAUUAUUUUAUCAAAUUUUAAAAUAUGAAUUUUUAUAUAAAAGUAUAAUAGUACAUCUAUUAUUAUUUUUAAAUGAAAGGCUAAGUAAAAGAAUUACUAGUAACUAUGUUCAAAAUCACCCCACCGGAAACAAUUAGCAACCCUUUUGAUAUAUUCUUUUCUUUCUGGGCUAUUUCCCACUUCUUCUUUUUUUUUUUGUUAAUAAUUAGAUGGGCUCAAAAUAAUGAGGGCCGAACCUCAAGCCCAACAAUCUUAGACUUCCCAAAAAAACUUAGGUAUUAAAUUGAGCUUGAAUUUUUUAUUUAUUGAAUUUUCAAAGCUCACGAAUUUAUUUGAAACUUACUUUAGACUAAGAGAACUUUUUAGAUUUAAAUAUUAAUUACUUUUUAAAAUAAUAUUUUAGAAAAGCAUACUCGCUUCUCACAAAAACAUGAACAUUUCAAUUUUUGUACAUUACCUCAUUAUCUUUUAUCCCUCAUUUUCACAAAAAAUCAUCAUGACUAUUGGCUCACCACUACUUUUCCUCACUUAAGAGCACCCACAAUGGAUGACUCGAUCGUCGCCACUCGAAUCACCCAUAGAUCAGGUCUCCCACUGCAGCGGUCAUGGACUCGAGACUGACCUGAUUUAUCGGGUGAGGCCAGGGAAAAAAAAAAUCUCAAAAAACAUACCUGAACUCGGCGAGAAGUGAAGAUGAAGAAGAUGAAGUGCAAAACAUGAUCACGGCUUUUAUUUAGAUUUAAUUUUAGGGCUUUUAUUUAGCUGACUUUGGCCUUUUAAUUUUAGGUCUUUAAAUUUUUUUCAAUUUUAAAUCUAUAUUUAAAUUUUAGUAAUUAGUAUUAAUGUAAUUUUCAUUUGAAGUAAAUUGUGUUAUUUAAAUUUAAAUGAAAAAUACAAAAAUUAAAACUAAAAAAAUCAAGUCAGGUAUCAAGUCCCCAGUGGAUGCUCUAACAUGAGCUCUUCUUUAGAAUAUUGAUAAUUAGAAUUUUUAAAUUCUAUUUGUAAUUGAUUAAGUAAUUUUCCCUCUGUCCAAUUAAUUAAUUAAACGCUUAGAGCAUUACUAUAUAACAAUAACAAGAUCAAUGAGAAAGCCUCCAUCAAAAAGAAACAUCUCAACAAACUCAUCCAGCAAAAAAUGCAAUAAAAUUGUUUUAAAAAUGGUUAAUUAUCCAAAAAUUCAUCAUCUUUGAGACAACUUUGGAUUUGGACAUUAGAUUUAAUACCUUCCAAUAAUAAAUACAAACAAAAACAAGAAAGCCAAUAUUCAUAUAGUUUUAUUUAUUAAGAAAAACAUGCAAGCUAAAACACACAUGUUUACAUUUGCAGAUAAGAGUAACCAUUUCUUCAAAGAAAGCAUAGAAACAACUGUGUGAAAGAAGGUUAGUAUGAGAAGCACAGCAGCUGAUACUUCAAGUAAUUCCUCCUCAUUCUUGCCAUCCAUCUCCCACGUCGAAGCCGUUUACAUCUGUUCAAACUCUCAAACACAUUCGAGUAGCAAAAAUCCAAUGAUGAAACCACAACAUUCUUCCCCAAUCUGUUGAACAUGCUGCAGAUCAUCUCAUCACUGCCUAUGAAGUUGCUGAUGACCCCGCUUCGUCGUAGUAUCUCAACAUCUUUGGUGGAUCUGAUGAAACAAUGUAUGAAAAACAAGUAAUCUGUCACAUACCUCGGAUGAUCAUCAGGGAAGAAGCAGAGCUCGUACGCGAUCAAGUUCCUCAACAUGGACUCUAGUUUUAUCUGAUAUGCAUUAAUGGUGGGAGUUUUAUGACUCCUUUGGCAAAACUGAUAUCCCUUAGACUCAUCCCUUUCGACCCUUUUAGCCUAAUCCCGGCCUCCUCCAUCUCCGAGGCAGAGCACGUGUGGUGCACCGUGUUGCAACCGUUGUUUUCAGUGAAGCACUUGGCUGAGAAUGAGAAUGAGAUGAAAGAAUCAUACACUAGGCCUAAUAGAUGCUCAGCACUGUGCAACAUAUCUGAACUCGAGUUGAGCAUUGAGGAAUCCGGCCAUGGGAACACGUCUCCGGCUAGAAAGAGGAGGAGAUGGUGUAUGUUAUCGUCUGGAUGUUCCAUCCUUGUCAUGUCGAAAAGCUCAUUCAACACGAAGAAAGGGAGCUGGUUCUCCAACAACAGAAGAUCAUGCCUUAUUUGGACUAACAUGUGAUUAAAUUGAAAUAUUUGAUCACUCAUGUCUCUCAAAUCACUAAACCAAUAGCUUCUCAGCAGCUCAAUCACGAAGCAUCCAUCAAGAAGCAACAUCUCCACAAACUCAUCUUGAUCAAGACUGAUUGUUUUCGCGUAGUAGAGGCGAGCCUUUUCCUCCAUUCUCCUCACUUCCAACACACAUUUCUCAACACUCAACUCAGCCCUUCUUCCUAAUGUUUUUCUUAGAUACCUCAGCUUGUGCUGCUCCAUGGCCUUAACGCGAUCUUUCCCACGAUGGAUUGGGCCUAUAGAGACUAAUUCGGGUUCAAAAUCCUUUUCAUUUACUUGCCUUAGGUGUUGAUAUACUUUGGCUAUGAUAGGCUUUGAGGGAGUGAGAGAAGUAGACAAUUGAUGAAGCAAGUUUUCAAUCUUAACAACAACACUGUCUCUCUCCUCUGUCAUCUUCAAGAAUUAAGCCAAGAAACCAGAAAUUAUAUAUGCUACAGAAGAAGAAAACACCAUAAAAAUAUUAAACAUGUAGCAAUCUACAUAGGUUCAUUUGUUAUUGAAACUUACAAGAUUAACAAAAUGUCGAGCAUACUUACUAGAUUAGGAGUAGGGAAUUUGAGUAGCUGAAACACGAAGCCAAAGCGUUGAUAUUGUACGUUGCUGCAGCUGAUUUCUUCUUGUUACAUUUCUUGUAAGAGAACUUUCAUCCCCUCUUAAUAUGCAUUAUUGGAGUAGUUUACAAAGCGAAUCUUGUGGCGGAAAUUAAGUCAAUUUCCAAGAACUUUACUUUAGAUAAAGAAAUUAAUGCUUAAGAAAUUUCAUGUGAAAUUUCGUGAAUGUGGGUUCGGUCAACGAAAUUGACGCCGACUGUGUGUCUUCACAAUUUUGCACUUUGGUCAACGAAAGUUGCAGGGAAAAUCAAAAUGAAAACAACAAGGGAAAAAUAUUUUUUUUAAAAACAUAAAUUAUAAAUAAAAUUAAAAUAUAAAUAUAUUCGGUUAAAUCGAUCAAUUCGGUCCGGUUCGACGGUUUUGAUUGCAAGUAGGGCUGGUUUCGCCUGAAUCGGCGGUUCACGGUUCACUGGAACCAGUCUGCCUGAGUAUAGAGGUUCAGGGUCCGGUUUGAACAAUCGAUUUUCGGGCCGAACCGGUUAUUUUUUUUUAAUAUUAAAUUUGAAUUUGAGUAUUGUGUAUAUUUUCACUCCAGGAUCAUCUAUUAGGCCUAAUUUAUCAAUGUUUCACUCCAUUUUCAACUCAGGGUGCGUUCUGUUUGUUUGUAAAUUUAUCAUGAGAAAAUGAAGGAUAAACAAAAUUUCACCCUUUAAAUCUUUCCUUUCUUUUUCCACAUAAACUCUGCCUCAGGCCGGCAUUCGCCUCAAACGGUCUAAACAAAACCUCCUCACUUUCAAAGCCAGAGUCCUCAAAUUCCCACCUCUGCAAGUCUCAGGCAAGACAGAGUCCCUUCUGAGGAACUUGAUGGCCUACGAGCAGCUCUGCCUCGAUGAUGAUCAUCCAAAACACGUGACAGACUACGCGUUCUUCAUGCAUUGCCUCAUCAGAUCAACGAAAGACAUUGAGAUACUGCGACGCAGUGGGAUCAUUAGUAACUACCCUACCUAGGAGGCGACGACAACAUCUGCCUAAUGUUUAACAGAUUGGGGACAAACUUUCUCAUCAGAUCAUCAGAUUUUUGCUACUCUGAUGUCUUUGUGAGCUUGAACAGGCAUUGUGGCCGCCGGCACAAGAAAUGGAUGGCGAAAUUGAGGCGAAACUACUUCAAUAGUCCGUGGUCCGUGAUCAAGUUCGUUGCUGCUGCAGUGCUGCUGCUGCUCACCUUAACACAAACUGUUUUUGCUAUACUUGCUUAUGAGCAGAGGAAUGAUGUGAUGAGAGUGCGUUUGAUUUCAAUGUGAUUCAACUAUGUAUGUAUGUAGGGAGAAAAUCAUUUGUAAUCUUAUCAACUGUUUAUCUAAUGUAAAAGAUUUGAGUAAAAAAUCACUUCAAAAAUUUGUUUUCCUUCAAAAAUUUCGUAGUAAAUUACCUUGGAAUUUUAGCUAGCAGUAAAAAUAAAAAAUAAAGUGGAAAAAAAGAAUCAUAAACUUCAACUGAUAGGCCUAGUUUAUGAUUCUUUCUUCUCAUUCUCAUUCACUGCAAACAACGGUAGCAACACAGUGCACCACACGUGCUCUGCCUCGGAGAUGGAGGAGGCCGGGAUUAGGCUACACGGGUCGAGAGGAAUCACUCUAAGGGAUAUCAGUUUUGCCAAUGGAGCCAUAAAACUCCCACCAUUAUGCUUAUCAGAUAAAACUGAGUCCAUGUUGAGGAACUUGAUCGUGUACGAGCUCUGCUUCUUCCCUGAUGAUCAUCCGAGGUAUGUGAAAGAUUACUUGUUUUUCAUUCAUUGUUUCAUCAGAUCCACCAAAGAUGUUGAGAUACUACGACGAAGUGGGAUCAUCAGCAACUUCCUAGGCAGUGAUGAGAUGAUCUGCAGCAUGUUCAACAGAUUGGGGAAGAAUGUUGUGGUUUCAUCAUCAGAUUUUUGCUAUUCAAAUGUGUUUGAGAGUUUGAACAGAUGCAAACGGCUUCGACGUGGGAGAUGGAUGGCAAGAGUGAGGAGGAAUUACUUGAAGAUAUCAGUUGCUGUGCUUCUCAUACUAGCAUUUUUUCACACAGUUGUUUGCUCUUACAAGAAAUGGUUACUCUUAUCUGCAAACAUGUUGUGUGUGUUUAGCUUGCAUGUAUAUCUUAAUCUUAAUAAAUAAUGAAUAUUGGCUUUCUUGAUUUUGUUUGUANNNNNNNNNNNNNNNNNNNNNNNNNNNNNNNNNNNNNNNNNNNNNNNNNNNNNNNNNNNNNNNNNNNNNNNNNNNNNNNNNNNNNNNNNNNNNNNNNNNNNNNNNNNNNNNNNNNNNNNNNNNNNNNNNNNNNNNNNNNNNNNNNNNNNNNNNNNNNNNNNNNNNNNNNNNNNNNNNNNNNNNNNNNNNNNNNNNNNNNNNNNNNNNNNNNNNNNNNNNNNNNNNNNNNNNNNNNNNNNNNNNNNNNNNNNNNNNNNNNNUCUGUCAAACAUGAGGCAGAUGUUGUCGUCCCUCCUAGGAAGUUACUAAUGAUCCCACUGCGUCGCAGUACCUCAAUGUCUUCCGUUGAUCUGAUGAGGCAGUUCAUGAAGAACACGUAGUCUGUCACGUGUUUGGGGUGAUCAUCAUCGAGGCAGUGCUGCUCGUAGGCCAUCAAGUUCCUCAGCAGGGACUCUGUCUUGCCUGAGACUUGCAGGGGUGGGAAUUUGAGGACUCCGGCCUUGAAAGUGAGGAGGUUUUUUUCAGACCGUUUGAGGCGAAUGCCGGCCUCGUUCAGCUCCGAGGCAGAGUUUAUGUGGGCUAAUGAGUUCCUAUGUUCACCUAUGUAAAGAGUUUGAGUUGAAAAUGGAGUUGAAAACAGAGAUGCUCUGUUUUGAUCAUGUUGAAGAGGUGGUUCAAGAAGGAGAAAGGGAGCUGGUUCUCAACAGCAUCAGGUCAUGUGUGAUCUGGCUGAGUGUCGUGGGCUCGAAGACGGGGUCUUUCUCUGUCGAGGCGUCGGAGACCUGCAUGUGCCUUCUCACGAGCUCGAUGAGGAAGCAGCCAUCAAGAAGCAGCAUUCUCACAAACUCAUCUGCAUCGACAUUUAGAGGUGUUGAGUAGCAUUGGAGGGCCAUCUCUGUUUUUUCACUCACUUUUUGGACCAGUUUUGCUAUGGUGAGAUCAUCUCUUCUCUGCAGAAGUUGCUGCAGAUACCUCAGCUUGUGCUGCUCCAUCCCCUUCAGAUGAGGUUUCCCUCGAUGGAUGGGGCCGAUAGCCACGAUCUUCGGUUCAUAAUCCUUUUCAUUCACUUGGCGCAACCGAUCAUCCACUUCAAAUAUUUUGGGUUGAAUAGUGUUGUUCAAAUUCUCAAUCAAACCUUGGAUGUUGCAAGUCACACUGUCUUCUCCAUUUGACAUCUGUGAGAACUCAGCCAAGAAAGAUGCCAAAGUUUCAAUGCCAGCAACUUUGAUAUAUAGAUGAGAAUUAAACCUGCAAGACGCGAUUAUUUGGACAAAAGCAUAGUCACAAUUUGAUCAAGAUUCAAGAUGGAGGGGAAAGACUCAAUGGUGUUUGCUGUUUCUAUACAUUCUUCGUGUGGAUCUAGAUUUAUAGAUAACAUCAGCUUAAGGCUAGGUGAAGAGCUAAACAACUUAACCAGAGUUUGAGAUUUUGAGUCCGAAACUACCAAGAAGUUUCUAUGCACGAGAAAUGUAAUUUCCUAAAGUUUUGGUGUUUUGGUACAUAUCUCAGGUUUGAGAAGACUAAAAAGACAAUGCUUGCAAAUUCACUAGGAAAUUUCGCAUGAACUUUCUCAAGCAUGAAGUCUUUCUAAAGUAUAGUUCUUGGAAAUUGAUUUAAUUUCUGCACCGAACGCUCACUUUGUCAAUACAAUAAUGAAAAGAGGGCAAAAAAGUUCUUUAAAAAUAAAAUAACACGAAGAAAUCUGCAGCAGCCAGGGGCAGGCCCCCAAAUUUUUAACUUCUUUUAAAAUUUUAUAUAUUUACUGAAUACGCCAACAAUUGUACUGAAUAAAAUAACUUUAUUGAGGGGAAAGUUUCACGAAGAAAUCAGCUGCAGCAACUUUUCUCGUCUAAGGAGCAACGCUUUGGCUUCAAGUUUCAGCUACUCAAAUUUUGUUUAUCUUGUAAGUUUCAAUAACAAAUGAACCUCUGUAGAUUGCUACAUGUUUAAUAUUUUUAUGGUGUUUUCUUCUUCUGUAGCAUAUAUAAUUUCUGGUUUCUUGGCUUAAUUCUUGAAGAUGACGAGGAGAGAGACUGUGUUGUUGUUAGAUUGAAAACUUGCUUCAUCAUUGUCUACUUCUUCACUCCCUCAAAGCCUAUCAUAGCUAAAGUAAUCAACACCUAAGGCAAGUAAAUGAAAAGGAUUUUGAACCCGAAUUAGUCUCUAUAGGCCCAAUCCAUCGUGGGAAAGAUCGCGUUAAGGCCAUGGAGCAGCACAAGCUGAGGUAUCUAAGAAAAACAUUAGGAAGAAGGGCUGAGUUGAGUGUUGAGAAAUGUGUGUUGGAAGUGAGGAGCAUGGAGGAAAAAGGCUCGCCUCUACUACGCGAAAACAAUCAGUCUUGAUCAAGAUGAGUUUGUGGAGAUGUUGCUUCUUGAUGGAUGCUUCGUGAUUGAGCUGCUGAGAAGCGUAUGGUUUAGUGAUUUGAGAGACAUGAGUGAUCAAAUAUUUCAAUUUAAUCACAUGUUAGUCCAAAUAAGGCAUGAUCUUCUGUUGUUGGAGAACCAGCUCCCUUUCUUCGUGUUGAACGAGCUUUUCGACAUGACAAGGAUGGAACAUCCAGACGAUAACAUACACCAUCUCCUCCUCUUUCUAGCCGGAGACGUGUUCCCAUGGCCGGAUUCCUCAAUGCUCAACUCGAGUUCAGAUAUGUUGCACAGUGCUGAGCAUCUAUUAGGCCUAGUGUAUGAUUCUUUCAUCUCAUUCUCAUUCUCAGCCAAGUGCUUCACUGAAAACAACGGUUGCAACACGGUGCACCACACGUGCUCUGCCUCGGAGAUGGAGGAGGCCGGGAUUAGGCUAAAAGGGUCGAAAGGGAUGAGUCUAAGGGAUAUCAGUUUUGCCAAAGGAGUCAUAAAACUCCCACCAUUAUGCAUAUCAGAUAAAACUGAGUCCAUGUUGAGGAACUUGAUCGCGUACGAGCUCUGCUUCUUCCCUGAUGAUCAUCCGAGGUAUGUGACAGAUUACUUGUUUUUCAUACAUUGUUUCAUCAGAUCCACCAAAGAUGUUGAGAUACUACGACGAAGCGGGGUCAUCAGCAACUUCAUAGGCAGUGAUGAGAUGAUCUGCAGCAUGUUUAAGAGAUUGGGGAAGAAUGUUGUGGUUUCAUCAUCGGAUUUUUGCUACUCAAAUGUGUUUGAGAGUUUGAACAGAUGUAAACGGCUUCGACGUGGGAGAUGGAUGGCAAGAGUGAGGAGGAAUUACUUGAAGUAUCAGCUGCUGUGCUUCUCAUACUAACCUUUUUUCAUACAGUUGUUUCUAUGCUUUCUUACAAGAAAUGGUAACUCUUUUCUGCAAAGUAAACAUGUUGUGUGUUGUAGCUUGCAAGUUUAUCUUAAUAAAUAAUGAAUAUUGGCUUUCUUAACAUGUUGUGUGUUGUAGCUUGCAAGUUUAUAUUAAUAAAUAAUGAAUAUUGGCUUUCUUGUUUUUGUUUGUAGGGUAAAUAUCACUUUAAACCUCAAACUAUUUUCGCACUAUCAAUUAUAUCCUGAACUAUCGAAAAUAAUUUUUUAAGCCUUGAACUAUCGAUUUUGUAUCAAUUGUAUACCACAAAGUAUAUGUUUUCAAAUAGUUUUAACUGUAAUUUUCAAUUUCUAAUAUUUUUUUGUUUUAAUUUUUGUAAUUUUCAAUUUUUAAUUUUUUCUAUUUUAAUUAUCACUAUUUCCGUCCCACAAUUUAGUAUCCAUAUUUUCAUUUUAAUCUAUCCUCUAAUUUAGUAUUCAUUUCUAUUUUUAGUAAAAGUACUCCCACAACCCUAUAAAAUGUUGGCAUCUUACCUUACUCCAAUUUAAUCAUUCUAACACUCUCAUAAAUCUGAGACACUUAUUCAACUUACAACACAUUCAACCACUUUAUUAAAAUUCGUGUCAUUCUCAAUCUCAAAUGGAUAGUAAAUUGUGGGACGGAGAGAGUAUAAUUUUUGAAUUUAAAUUAAUAAAAAUUUUAAUUUUAAAAUUCGAUAUUUAUUUUAAUCUUAAAAUAUACUCUCUCUCCGUCCAUAAUAUCGUUGUCAUUUUUAUCGUUUUAGUCCGUCUGCAAAAUCCUUGUAGAACCUAAACUCUAUUCACAACAAUAUUCACUAUUAUUAACUACUACUAUUUAUCACUUUUUUAAAAUCAAUGUCGUCCACGAAAUCGCAACGAUAUUGUAAAAGAAGGCAGUAUUAUUUUUGAUAAAUACUUUCUUCGUCCCUUCUCAAUUGACCUAGUUCUUUUCGACACGGUUAUUAAAGAGACUGAUAUUGUAGUGUAAAGUAAUAUAAAGUAAAUGAAUUCAUAUCUUUUGUAGUGAAAAUUUAUUACUAAAAAAAAUUGGUCAAGUCAGGUGGAACAGGCCGCAAAAAAAAUUAGGCAAAGAAAACUAGGCCGAGUGAGCUGAGGCGAAGGGUGUAAAAUUUAUAGAGUUCAUCAUUGAACCUCCGCCGCGGAUGGGGUGACUUGGAGCAACCACUAUGGGGGAAAGUUAGGAGGCAGUAAAAUUACUUCCUCCAUUGUGGGACCGUUUACGUUGGAAAGCAAAUUGAAGGAAGCAAAUCAAAGCAAGUGAAAUUGCUACAAGUAUAGCAAAUGGUGGCCCCCUUCUUUAAUUGUUUGAUUUGUUGUGCGUGUCUUUUGUUUGAGUGGAUCAAAUGCUGAAAUGUGUUUCGAAAUUCAAUUUUUUUUUUUUGACAAAAUGGCUUCGCAAAAUGUGUUUUGAAAUUUAUAUUUUUUUUGACAUAAUUAUAUUAAUUUUAAAUUAUACUCCCUCCGUCCCGGUCAAGACGCUAUAUUUGCUUUUCAGCAUGGGAUUUAAGAAGUUGUAGAUUAAUGUUUUAAGUGUGUAAUAAUAAAGUGAUAAAGUAAGAGAGAGAAAGUAAUAAAGUGAUAAAAUAAGAAAGAAAAAGUAAUAAAGUGAUAAAGUAGAAGAGAGGAGGCAAUAAAGAAAAUACUUAAUUAGUGUUAAUUAAGUAUUUAAAAUUCCUUAUUUUUGUCAAAUAUAGAAAUGUAGCAUCUUCGUUGGGACGGUCCGAAAAAGAAUAUGUAGCAUCUUGGGCGGGACGGAGGGAGUAUUUUUUUUAUUUAAAAAAUAAAUUUAUUUGUGUAAUUAUAUAAAUUUCAUUGAAGUAAAAUAUUAUACAAAAAAUAAAAUACAUAAAUAAUAUAUAUGUAUAUAUAUAGUGAUAAAUAUAAGUAAUAACGAUAGUGGGGUCCAUGAAUAAUUAAAUACUCCCGCCGUCUAUAAAAGAACUUCUUAGGAGGGAGUGACACAGAUUUUAAUAAAAAUUAUUGUUGAGUGUAUUGAGAGUGGAGAAAAGGUAGUUGUGUGUAUUGAGAGUGGUGAAAAAGUGUUAUAUUGAGAGUUGUGAAAAGUGAAAAGUAAAAGUAAUUAUAAGUAAUGGGGGAUAGUCCAAAAAUAGGUAGAAAUUUUUUUUGUGAACGUCCCAAAAAGAAAAGGUAGGAAGUUCUUUCAUGAACGGAUGAAGUAUGAAAUCGUGGCACAAUAAAGAAAAUAUGAAAUAGUUGAAAAAUAAGAUAGGACGUUGUUGAGCUGACAUACAUAGGAGUCAUAUGUAUGCUCUUAGGGUGGAUGCUCUUAGGGUGGGAACCACUGUUGAGUAGCAUCGUAGUGAUGCUCUUACUCUUAGGGUGGGAACCACCUCUACAUGGCCUGCAAGCUGUGAAUGCUAUUAUUUCUUUGUCAGAGUUUGCCUCAAUCAUUGACUUAGAUAAACAUCUCUCAUGCUUCAAAGAUACAGCACCUCAAAGCUUCAAAUGAUCCUUUAUGUGAGCUCACAUUUCACAUAGAUGGAAAAUUUCUGGAGGUUAGCAAAGUUACAGCAAGCAUACCAAGACGAGAUCUAUGGUAAGAUUUUCUUCAUAUAUAUCAGUUUUUUAAGCUACAACUCCAAAUCAUUACUAUGUUUUCUGUUUUAUCGGAUGAAAAUCACGAAUAUUUUUUAAGCAAACAUCUCUCUCUCUAUAACCCAUACACCCCUCCAAUCUUUCCUAUAUACAAAUGAAUCUGAUAGUUCAUUAUUUUUUUUACUUUUUCUGCAAUUUCGAUUUAUUGUGAUUUAAUUUAAUUUUUUAUUUAUUAGUAAUUAGGAUUUACCAAUUUAAUUAAUGCGUGUAAUUAGGAUAUAUAUAUAUAUAUAUAUAUAUAUAAUUUAUUUUCAUUUUGUUGUAAAAAAUAAUACGGAGUAAUAAUAUUUUAUUUCAAAAUAUUACCUUUAAUAAAAUUAUAUACUUAUUUGUGAAAAGUGAUAUAUAGAUUAGCCAUAAAUCUUUAGGAUAGAAUUACAUAAAAAUAAAAAUAAAAUUAUAGUAUAUUUUUUAUAUAUAUAAUUAGAACUAUGGGUUGGAUCUAGAUCGAGUCUGGAUCUCAUAACUCCUACUUCAUAUCUAGGUUCAAAAAUUUUAAGAAUAGUCCAAAUUCAGUUUAAAUUUAUCGAAUCUGAUUUUUGCAAGGUCCAAAUCCAAAAAAAUAGAAUCUGGUUCAAUAUUCACUAUCAUCCCUAAUAAGAGAACUAUGGGAUAUUGAGUUGGAUGAAAAUAUUUUAUGUGAAAAAUUAGUUUAAAUUUAUUAUUAUUAUUAUUAUUAUUAUUAUUAUUAUUAGAAGCUAUGUCUAAAAUGACCUCACCGAAAUAAUCGGCAACCCGUUUGAUCUUCUGUUUUCUUUUUGGGCUAUUUCCUUAUUCGUCUUUUGUUAUUUAUAAUUAGAUGGGCUCAAACUUAUGAGAGUCCAAGCUCAGCCCAAUAUUCUUCUUUUGCUGUUUUUAAUUGAAUGGGCUCGAAUUACUGAGGGCCCAAGAUCAAGCCCAAUAAUCUCAUCCUACCCAAAAUAUAACCCAAUUUAUGACCUAGAACUUAUGCUAGCGGUGGCAGGCCAAAUGGGAUCCUCUGUACCAAAAUAUAGUGUAUACCACGUGUACCACUUUUCAUUUUUUUAUAUUUUAAAAUUAUUUUUUAUUCAAUUUUAAUUUAUUAUGCUUUUAUAUAAUAUAAAGAUAAUUAACAAGGGUUCACUCAUCCAUUUAGGGUUUAUAAUUAUUUUUUUUAUAUUUAUUUGAAUUAAUAAUAGAAUAUUUGGGUUCAUUUAAUUCAAAGUUAGGGUAUAUAAUUUUUUAAAUUUAUUAUUUGAUGUGAAAAAUUAGUUUAAAUUUAUUAUUGUUAUUAUUAAAUUAGAAGCUAUGUCUAAAAUGACCUCACCGAAAUAAUCGGCAACCCUUUUGAUCUUUUGUUUUCUUUUCGGCCUAUUUCCUUCUUCGUCUUUUGUUAUUUAUAAUUAGAUGGGCUCAAACUAAUGAGAAUCCAAGCUCAGCCCAAUAUUCUUCUUUUGCUGUUUUUAAUUGAUGGGCUCGAAUUAAUGAGGGCCCAAGCCCAAUAAUCUCAGCCUACCCAAAUAGUUAGACCGGGGAAAUAUAACCCAAUUUAUGACCUAGAACUUAUGCUGGCGGUGGCAGGCGGGUUUGUAAUGAACUCGAGCUAAGUAAUAAUUUUAUUACGUAAAUUUUUGCUUCUCAUACAACUUGCACUUAUAUGCUUCAUUUUAUUUAAGAUGAUACGUUUAUCUACUAAAAUAAUGCAUUCACAAUAAUCUUUAUAAUCGUAUAAUUGAAAAUACUGAUCGUUGGACGUCCAAGGUCCAACCAAUCUCACUGAAUUUGAACGCCCAAACGAUGAGUAAUUUUGGCGUCCAAAGGUCCAACCAACAAAAAUAAAACAUGCAAAUUAACCUAAUGACCUAACAAAAUAUGAGUUCCAUUUUCCCAUUGAAUUUGGCCUAUAUUUUAGGUCAAUUAAAAUGGGUCGAAUGGAUUUAUUGUAAAUUAAGUAAAUACCAAAAAUGAAAAACUCUUAAUUCAUGAAUAGAAUCCAUCUACUUAGCUCAUCUUCCAAUUCUCUCAAAGUAGGCCUUUCCUCCACUGCUCCGCCACUCUCCUCAUCAUCAACAGCUCCAGACACCGAAUCUCCCCCAUUUUCCGACGCCCUCCGCCACGGAAGAAGUUGGAGCAGCACCGCUUUCGCGCGGGGAAGAACGCCUGCGCCGCCGCGCAUGAAGCCGGAAAGCGCGCGGUUCCCAUCUACGUGGUGCUCGUAAACUAGUAAGGGAAAACUCGUCUCCAAACAGCAGCCCGAAAUCCUAAUUACAUUUCCGCCGCGUAUAGAGCGACGGAUCACCUCGUCGAUGAACUGCUCGAUUUUCGAUUCCGGCACCAGCGACGGAAUCUUCAUCACGGCGGCCUCUCGACUAUUCUCGAAGGUUCCGCGGUAGAAUUCCCCCCGCUCGCUGUAAUUGUUAGUGGCGUUCUCCAUUUCCUGAGCUGCGUAUAUUUUGAGGUGCGCAGAUCCCUCGCGCUUGGAUAGCUUCUUCUUCAAUAUGUUUCCGCCAUUUCUGUCGAACAAGCUCAUUCUGUGGCGCUCGAGCUUCCUUCUCUGAUGCGACCAAACGAUCCAAGUGCUCGCGAAGAGGGGCGGGAGCACCAACACCCCCAAUAAGUAGGGGAUUUUAGAGUCGAUGUAGAUUCCAUGGCCGCUCCGCAAGGCGGAGGUAGUUUCGGUGAGGGAGGAAGAGAGGGUGAGAAAGAAAAUCAGCAACUUGAGAAGCUUCGAAUUGUGGAGAGAGAUUUUGAGAGACAUCGUGGAAGGUGGUGAAAAUCAGCGUUCUCGGCUUUCGUUUUGAUGCCUCUCUUUGCAAUUUACACUCUGAUGUACUGAAUCGUUGGUCUGGCGGUUUGCUUAUUUUGGUGGUAGUUUGAAUUGAAUAUUGGUUGAUGAUUUUCUGAAACUCGUAUAUGGGUUUAAUGUGUGCUUUUCUAGUCAACGAACAGGAAAUUUCUAUCUUACCUUUAUGGGAAUUCUCUUAUUCAACUUUUUGCAUGUGUUUGUUUGCCACAAUUCUAAGUUUCUCUGGUGAUUAAUCAGUAUUUUGUUUCUGUCUAGGUAGAUUGAUUAGUCUUGUAGAACUUAGAAGAAGGCCUGAAUGGAAAGCAAAAUCUGCGGAUCCAUAAAAUCUGUUGUGAACCUUCAAAUUCGAUGCAAUAAUCAUUUUGUUGUGAACCUUCAAAUUCGAUGUGGAGUCCAUAAAAUCUGUAGUUCUCCUGGAGCGGAUCCUGUAUAGAAUCCAGAAAUUUUCAGACAUGUAGAUGUUUAAUUCUAAUUGUUAAGAUGCAUAUGGACAUUUAUACGUUUUAGAGGUUGCAUGAAAACUACACUAGUUAUUGAGUUUUCCAAUUUAUCUCCUAAUAAUUUAUAUAAUGUGCUUAUGUGUUUGGCUUCAGUUUCUGAACUUUGUGUCUGACGAAACUAUUUACAUUUGGUUUUCUAGAUUGCAGUUGCUCUUGCUGUUGCAGCCAUCCCUGAAGGGCUACCUGCUGUUGUUACAACGUUAGUUCUUUAUUCUGUUUUACAUAACAUGUCAUAUGUACAUCAGCAUUCUCAUACCGUUUUUCUCGGAAAAGACCUGGCAAAUGUGGCAAGGGAUUGGCUUUGAUAAUGAGUUGUUGGACAAAUCACUGAGCAACUUAUUGGAAGACCUCUGAAUCUGUUUGUCACAUGCUCUGUACGAUUUGCUAUAGUAUCUGUCAUGGAUUUGUGAGAACUUUUAGCAGGCACUCCCUGUUAGCUCUAUUUCAGAGUAUAGUUAUUGUUUGCCUUCUAAUUGGCUACCUUUGUUCGGGUAAUAGUAAUCAGUUUCUUUUGUCUGUAUUCUAUUCCCUCGUAUUGUCCUAGAUACAACAAUUCCAAGUUUAAAUAUGCUUGACCUGUUCUAGCAUCCUUGAGAAUACAUUUUGCUCAAAGUAUAAGGUGUAGGCAUAGGUCCUACUGCAAGUAUUUUUGAUUGAAUAUAUUUUCGGUAGAGGAUUAUUUAGUAUGUUCUAUAGUAGGUAAUAAACAACUAUUAAAAAGGCUUGCAAGAAAGAUCACUUUUUGGCUCAUGAAGGUUGGCUAUGGGUUUACUAGGUUAUUGUCUUAGGUAGGCCAGAUAAGGAUGCUUAUUCAGUCUCUUACUUUCACCCAGCAGUGUUGAUAUACUUGCAGAUAAAGAGAAACUUACUUUCACCUCUGUUUUUUGAGGAAAUGCUGAUUGUUUCAAAUCCAUGCUUAAGAAGCAGCUUAGCUUUCUGCCUUACACAUCUUAAUUUCUCUGAGUGUCAGCAGGUGUCUAGCUCUUGGAACGAAACGAAUGGCUCGUUUAAAUGCUAUAGUUAGGGCGUUGCCAUCAGUAGAGACCUUAGGCUGUACAACAGUGAUUUGCAGUGACAAGACUGGUACUCUGACUACUAAUAUGAUGUUUGUCUCGAAGGUAUCAAUUUACACACAAUAAUCCUUCGUUCUUCUUUUACUUCUUUUAUUUUCCUCUGGGUUAUACUUUUUUUAAGGUUGAGAAGGGGGAAUAUAUGCUUUGGAAUGUUUCUCCUUUAUUAGCUUUGUCAGAAGCUCUGAUAAAUUUCUCUACACUUCUUACAUUUUAGCACUUAUGGUUUCACGUAAUGCUAGACUAAUUAAUUUUUUGUAUUUUUCCCCAUCAAGCUUCAAUUAUUCUGCCCAUGUGUUUAAGUGUGCAUAUACUUAUUUACACCAAUAUGUUAUUAUGUACUGCAUAUUUUCUUACAACUACUUUCACUGUAAAAGUUGAUUAAAAUGGCAUUGCUACUUUGAAUCACUAGGAAUUCCCCAUUUUUUGUGAGGACCAUUGUGAUGUUUAUAUCGAAAGUGGCAGACUGUGUCAGCCUUCCUAAAGAACUAAUAUUAAGUAUAACAUCUGCUUUCUCUUUGCAGGUAUCUGUGCUCCAUUCUGCAAAUCAUGUUCCUGUUGUAUUAAUACAUGUAAGUGGCACCACAUAUGCUCCAGAAGGUACUAUCUCCGACAGCACUACAGAGCUACAGGUAGUGUUCUAUUCAUGACAUUAGGUUUGUAUUUAUUGAUUGAUUAUAAGUUUAACACUAGACCAGUUUUCGAAAUAUCAAUAGUUAGUGCAAUGGAUUUUGUACCAGCAUUAUUUAUCUUGAAAAAAUCAUGUUUUCUUAUCAACUUAUAUUUAGUUUCAUAUCUUCUACAAUGUAUUGAUGUUUCUGACUGCUGUCUAAAAUUUGUCUACUUUGUACUUUGUUAUUCCAUAUGGUCACAGAUUCUUCUUCUCCCCUUGCUUGCUUACCAAUCCAACUACAAUUUUUUUUUUGAGAACCACCAUCUACCAAAAAUUUAUUAAAGGAUAUAUGCACCUUUUUCCUGAUUAUUUUGGCUUAUUAUCUUUCAUAUACUCUUUCGAAGGACCCUGUUUUCCCCUCUUUAUAGCUCAUCCAAUCUCCCUAGGCUCUGUCUAGGUUCCAGGUGGCCUUUUACCGUUCCUGCUUUUCCAAAUUCACCUUGCUCAGCCCUGCUGGACAGCUGGCUCCUUUUAGAAUAUUGAGCUUCUACUAUUUUUACAUGAUUCUUACUUGUCUAUUUUUAUUUUGGGUUUAUUAUAGUCAUAUAUUGACAACUUUUAUGUUUGUUAUUUGUAUUAUUUGUUGUAGUUAUUCUUAAUGUAAGAUUUAUCUGGGACCUAAUGCAGCUUGGGCUUCCAGCUAAUUUUCACUGUCUUCUACACACAGCAAUGUGCUCUGCCCUUUGCAAUGAAUCUAUUAAUCAGAGGCAUGUCUGACUGAAACAUAAGGAAGUUUGGACAACCAUCUGGUUGCACCAUUUCGUUAGUGGGUAUAAUUUCCAACUAUUUAGAUAUGGAACCUGUUGUCCAAUUACCACUUGUGAUAUCCUCACCAGUCUAUGGCAGGCAGUAUUAUAGCUAAAGUCAAUGAUGUUGUUGGUUUGAGGAAUUCAACCACAUGCUUAUUUAUGGAAUGAGGAAUGAGUCUUUCAUAUGUGGCUAUUUUUUUCAAACUGCCACUAAUGUUGUACUUAAAUACUAGCUUCUUGCAAUUUUUCCAUAGAAUUCUGUCAUAUGUAGUACCACAUUCGCUAAAAUGAUCCAGGGAAAAUGCAUAACAUGGAAUAUGACCACCUUCACCCUACAGGGAAUGUAUUGUUAUAGUUUCGGAGGUUUUUCUCUUGUCCUUGUACCAGUUAAUCCAUCUAGCUAAGUGACUGUCACUAUACUGAAUUUCAUGUAGCCUCUGCCUUUUUAAUGAAAUUUCACUGUCACAUCUUUUUUACUGUAUUUAUAUGGUUGAGUAGCUUUCUCAUCUUCUUGUCCUCAAGGAGGCCGAGAAAGAAAAAAAAAUGAAAGAAAAUGAAAUAGUUGUGUGAAAAUACUUGUAGAAAAUAUUAAAUCGGAAGAUGAGUUAAUUUUCUUUAAAUAUUGUAUUUUGUUGAAGCUUGUACUUCCAUGUUAGAUAACUUCUGAUCGUAUCUAUCAGAAAAAACUGCAAAUGACCUAUUAAGCAACUUGGCCUCGUACCUAAUGGACCAAAGAUUCGUGGGCUCGAUAAUUCCUUGGUUACAGCAGGCAAGUUCUUUUGGUUGCACUAUUUAUAACUAUAUGAAAUCAUCCAUAUCCGUAACAAAUGAUUAGCAUGUUAUCUAAAUGAUCACUCUGUUUUCAUCAGCUUGUGGAUCUCAGUAACAUCCACGGACCAACCUACCUGGUGCUCUCCUCGAAGACGAAACAAGAAUUCUUAUAUGGAGUCCAGGAGGCUGCCAAAUUGGAGAUAUUCAAUCCUGCAGAGAGAAGAUGCCUUACUGAAAUAGGCAAAAUGUUGUGCCAGUUUUGGGGUUAAGACAUUUUUACAUGUUUGAAUCUCUUAAGUGGAGUUCAUUUCUGUAUUGUAAUUCAAAUCAGAAAUCUUGCACAUUAUUUGAUGUGAAGGCUGGGAUCUGAUUAGUAAUAGGUCGUGUUGAAGUUGUAUAAACAAAUCUAUUGCUCCAGUUUGUGCAAAGUAUGAAGUUGUGCCUCAAGAUUUAGGGGUCAAAAUUUCACAAUCUGACUGGUUAUAAGCAUGACAAAGCUCAAACAGAUAUAAAGCAUUUGGUGAAAUAAGUCAUUUAUAAUCGGGUGUCAAAAUGCUUUUCUUGGAUACAUAAACACUUGCUUACUUUUCCAUUGAUAAGAAGAGCUACAAUGUUUAUGACUUGUGAAAAAUUAGGACAGAAUGGUACAGACUUAAUCUUCAAAAAAAGAACCUGUUUGCAUACACUUUCUUAACUGCAGGUUUCAACAAUCAAAUCUUAGAGAAGAGGCAAUAGAGGCUUUACUCCUUUGAAGGCUCAUUAGGUUGUUGAUUCUUUAUAGGGCGCGUCUUCUCUUUCGCUCUGACUUCUGAGUUGGUUUCUUAACCCUCUGUUGGGAUUCUGAGGCGCAUUUUUUGAGACUUCGUAAAGGGUUAUACUACCACUACUUUCUAUUGGGCUGAAUUCUUGUGUGACGAGGGGUUCGAGUAUCUCAAUGACUUGACUCAUGAGGGGUCUUCCUUUUGGGUUCUGACUGAGACAUUGAAAUGCCAGAUUGGCCACUUUCAUAAGAAUCUUGGUGGAGUACUGCCCCUCGAUUCUAGGAUCCAGUAUUCUCGAAAGCUUCUUGCUAUGGUUGAGGAGUGGACGUGCCCACUCCACAAGAUUAUGUUCUCGGCUUGGCCUGCUCUUGUCCAUCGCACGUCUUCCUAUAAGCAUCUCAAGCAGAACAACUCCAAACCCAUAGACAUCGCUUCUUGCUGUCAAAUGUCCUGAACAAUGUACAAAUGGAUGAUCAUUCAAUCACUAGUCAUAAACAAUGCAUUUAAAGAUGGUAAUAAGAGAUUUAGCCACAACUCGUCUAAGACUUAUAUCAAAGAGCAACCUACGCGUAAAUGGUAACAUCAGAUGUAGCGUUCAUAUCACGUCUGCCAUCACAAGACUCACCAGUCAUGACAUACUCAGGAGCAGCGUAACCAUAGGUGCCCAUAACCCGGGUUGAGACAUGAGUUUGAUCUCCCGUUGGCCCAACCCUUGCCAGCCCAAAAUUAGAAAGCUUUGCGUUGAAAUCCUGUGCUCGUUAUACACUUUAGCCACUGAAUGAUCGAUGGAGAUGACAAAAUUUUGCAUAACCAGAAGACAUUGUGAAAUCUAUGGGAUUCAUCAGUAGAAUUCCAUCCAAAUAUGUAACUCAUUUAUAAGACCUCAUUUGUACUAGUAAACACAUCUACUAACCUCAUCUAGCAAAAUGUUUGAAGUCUUAAAAUCCCUGUAAAUGAUAGUUUUUUCAACACCAUGAAGAAAAGCAAGCCCUCUCGCAGUAUCCAAAGCAAUCUUUAGUCUUCUAUGCCAUGUUAAUGUGGCUCGUACCCCUACAAGCAAAAACCACAGAAAAACUGUAAGGAGACUAACUAGGCUAAACCAGGUGGGAUAAAGAGCGCACACAGUCCAUCACACGUCUCUUUUAGUUUGAUGGUGCACUGUAAUAGCUAAUAUCUCCUUUAAUUUUUCAAAAACUAUGUUGGCAUCACAUAUAAUACAACCUCCAAUUUCAAAAUGAAUGUUCUUAUAAGCAACUUCGUUUUAGAUGGUUAUUGAAACCUCAGUUUUCCAUAUCAGGUGAUUGCUACACGAGUAAAUGAGUGAAAGAAUGCAAGUCACUCUCAGCUGAAACAAUUUCCCACUACUACCACUUACUAAAGAAAAGGUGUUUCUCGAGGCUCCCAGAUGCCAUAUAUUCAUAGACCAAAAGCCUAUGGUCAUCCUCGCAGCUGUAGCCAAUAAGUUUCACCAAAUUAGGAUGUCGGAGUUGGCCUAAAUAGUUUACUUCUGCCUGCAAAGGACAACUUACACAUUCAGCGAUAACUACCUUCUCUACAUUUAAUGAAUUAGAAAAAAGUUUCACUGAAUAGAUUUUUUAGAUUCGAGGCAGCAAAAGCAGUAGAGAUGGGUGCAGCCAUCCAGUCACUUAUUUGUCUAGAAAUUGAAAUAUUGUUCUGAUAAAAUUUCAAUUGCUGCUCUUCCGAUCCCAAUCAACAGCAGCUAAUUCUCAACCAAACAUAAUACAAGGACCAGGCUGCACUCCACAGAUACACGAUGGCUUAUCCCAUUUCAUACUUACUUUAUAAAACUAAUAAAAAGUAGAAUAUGGGAAAUUAAGUUUUCUGGUAAGUUAAUAUAUAUAAUGAAUAAUGGGAUUUGGCUUUCUAACCAUCAGAAUAAUAAACAAUAACUACCUGUGUUAUGCGUAUAUUAAAAAAAUAAAAGUAUUAAGCAUCCUACGGCGGAUAUCGGUGAAAAUCUCAUUUCAAUCAUUCUUCUUCUAAAGGCUGCGCCUAUACAUAUAUGAGGUUUGGGCUACAGAAAUACAGAAUUAAUCAAACCCACGCAAACAAAGAAGCGAGAUGGCGAUGGCUAGGCGAAGGGCGGUGAUGCUGUUCUCUGAGACAAAUUAUCGAACAUGUGGCGUUCGUCUGAAACGCAAGCCACCGAGCAUGACGUUCUAGCACCAGUCUCUGCAAGCGCAACCAUGACUAGGCAGAAGACAACGCCUAGCUCUCCUAUCUAUCUGCAAUUUUCAUUUUACUAUCAAUUUAAACACUAACACAUAUCAUACAUACAUGAUAUAUAUAGCAGGUUCUUGAUAAGAGUUUGAAGAUCAGUAUCUUUCACCAGCGAGAUAGAGGCGUAUUCCUCGACCCUCGUCAGCUUUUUCAGCUCUCGAACGAGUCGACUCUGUGAAGCUCUCCAAAGGCAAAUCGACGUGCAUGCUGACUUAAGUUAGCAUCUUCGAAGUUGACAAUAAACCCACUGAAUCAUACCUCCUCCUCGUUUGUUACAUCGAUGAUUUGUGAUGUUUCGUUGUCCAGCGGGAGGAGGACACCAAUAAAGGGAAACAAUUGAACAAUCGAUAAAUGAGGAAAAAAAAGGGAAAAUCGAAGGAGAAGGAGUGAUUUAUGUGAUGAGAAACCGAGGAGGGAGAAAUGAGGGGAAAUUUGAGCAAAAAAGUAAAUAAAUUGCCUACUUUUGGAGGGAUUUUUUUUCGUUUAGGCGGGAAGUGAUUUCCUUGGGGGGAAACAAAAUUUUUCAUGUCAUAUUAAUUUAUGGGGUCCAACCAUAAUUUAAAAGAGAUAUGUUUUAUAGCUCCAACUUAAAAACAACUCUUUUGUAUAUCAAAAUGAGUUAAAUGACUAAAACACCCUCAUAUUAUAUCAUUAAAAAAAAGGGAAUCAAGAUUUUCGUCCAAGUCAAGGAUGUGAAGAAGAUUUUACUUGAUAUUAAAGGUCCUAUCAAGAAGUAUAGGUAGCUUGAAGGAUCUAGAAUAUUUUGUCUUACUCAACUUUGAAACAUAUUGAGACUUAUUUUGAGACUUAUUGAGACAUAUUCCAUGUUAUUUAUUUUUAGUUUGGUAUGUUGUUCAUUCUAUUUGUUAUGUUGAUUUUUGUAUAUUAUUGUCUUGAGAAACAAAAGAAAAACACAAAAAAAUGUUGGUGGUUGUCGUGAUCAUGAUGGGGGCUUCCCAUCGUGGACACAAUGGCAGCCAUCGUGGUCACGACAGCGCCAUCGUGGGCCACGGUCGUGCCCUCGCCCCCGUCGUGCCCCGCCCUCGCCCACGCCCGCCAUUCGCUCCGUCGUGUCCACCAUCGUGUCCACGAUGGUAGGACACGAUGGUGGACACGAUGGCUCUCACGAGUCAUCGUGUGGUUAUUAAUAUCAUUUAAUUUCAAACUUAAAUAUGAUUAUUGACUUGUUUAAUGUAUUAUAUUAUGUUUAAAAUUAUAAUUUAGCAAUCAAGCUUGAUUUGUAAUAAAAAUUAAACGAGUUGGAGUUAUAUACAUCGAGAUCUAUGAAUAUCUACUUGAAAAAUACUUAUAACAUUUCAUGGAAUGUUAUAUAGUUGUCAUGACUCAUUUCACAAAAACACUUAAAUUAUGUGUUUUAAGACAAAAUGGUUUGAUUAACUAUGUAUAAUGUUGUUUAGAAGAUAUAUAACAUGUUCAAACUUAAAUUAGUCGAAUAUAACAUCAUAAAUUUUAAAAAUUUCAAACAAUAAUAACACACGAUCGUGUACCCGGUCGUGGACACGAUGGUGUGAUUGUGGUCACGAUCAUGGCCAUCGUGAACCACGAUCGUGCCCUCCGUUUCUCCUGCCCGAACCCAUCGCGGGCACGAUGGGUGCCUCCCAUCGUGAUCAUGAUGGGAGGUUUCCAUCGUGAUCUCGGCAAAUAACAUGGAAUAAAUCUCAAUAAGUUUCAAAGUUGGGUAACGACGGGGAAGACACGACGCGAGGGCACGAUCGUGCCCACGGUUGUGCCCACGGUGAGCUCCAUCGUGAGGUGUCAUUGUGGGCACGAUCGUGUCCACGAUGGUAGACUCACGACCAUAGGCACGAUGGCUCUCACGAGUCAUCGUGUGGUUAUUAAAAUCAUUUAAUUUUGAAUUUAAAUAUGAUUAUUGACUUGUUUAAUGUAUUAUAUUAUGUUUAAAAUCAUAAUUUAGCAAUCAAGCUUGAUUUGUAAUCAAAAUUAAACGAGUUGAGUUAUAUACAUCGAGAUCUAUGAAUAUAUACUUGGAAAAUACUUAUAACAUUUCAUGGAAUGUUAUAUAGUUGUCAUGACUCAUUUCACAAAAACACUUAAAUUAUGUGUUUUUAAGACUAAAUGGUUUCAUUAACUAUGUAUUAAAAUGUUGUUUAGAAGAUAUAUAACAUGUUCAAACUUAAAUUAGUCGAAUAUAACAUCAUAAAUUUCAAAAAUUUCAAACAAUAAUAACAUACGAUCGUGUACCUGGUGGACACGAUGGUGUGAUCGUGGUCACGAUCGUGUCCAUCGUGCCCUCCCAUCGUCGUGUCCUCCGUCCCCUCCCCCCAUCGUGUCCUCCCGUCCCCCGGCCCCGUCGUGUCCUCCGUCCCCCAUUCCCCUCGUCAUGUCCCCCGUCCCCCCCGGCCCGUCGUGCCUUCGGCCCAUCGAUGGCCGUGAUCGUGCAACGACCGUGCCCACGAUGAACAUCGACGGUCGUGCCCCCUGCCCACAAUGGACACGAUGGUCGGGGGACGGUCUUAUCGGCUGAGACAUUACCAUUGUGGGCACGACCGAGGGCACGAUCGUGCCCUCGCGUCGUGGCCUUCGCCCCCUUCCCCGUCGUCCCAUCGCUCCUCGCCCCCCAUCAUAGCCUUCGCCCCCUUCCCACCCCCAUCGCCCCUCGCCGGUCGCACCCCCUCGUUCGUGCCAUCGCCCAUCGCCCUCUUCUCCAUCGUGCGAUUGUGGGCACGACGUGGGCGACGGUCGUGCCGUCGUCGUGCCUCGUUGCCGCAGCCCCCUUCACCUCGGUCGUGCCAUCGUCGUCGCCCGUUGUGGACGCGAUGGGGGCUCCCAUCGUGGACACGAUGGUGCCGUCGUGGCCACGACCGUGGCCCACGAUGGCUGCCAUCGUGUCCACAAUAGGGGCGCCCAUCGUGAUCACGAUGGUGCCGUCAUGUCCACGACCGUGGCCCACGAGUUUAGCACAUUACUAACAUUGAGAAAACUGAAAGUUCUAAUUGUUUGUUAAAUAUAAGAUGAUUUUCUAAACACUAAUAUUUAUAUAAAUAAAUUAAAAUAUAGUAAAAUUUGGCUUAAUAUAUUUAGAACUAAUUCAUCUUGAUACGUCUGCAUAAUUUUUUUAUUUAUUCAACGUGGAAAAAUUAUCUUUUGUAUUAAAUUAAUGACAAUACAAAUUAUCUUUAUAUUAUAAACACUAAGCAUUUCUAUCAAAUAUAUGCUUUUUUAUAGCUGUAGACGAGAUGAUUCUCAAAAUUCACUUUUGAUCUUUCAAACUCUAAACGAGAUAAUGUUAAAAAGUUAGAGGUGGUCUAUCAAACUUCAUACAAGAUGUAUUCAAAACUUAAUUUUGGCUCCAAACAAUAAAUUGCUCUAAGUUAGAAGUGAUUUGCCAAACUCCAAACGAGAUGAUUCUUAUAACUAAAUUCCGAUCCUUUAAACUUCAAAUGAGAUCAUGCUUAGCACUCAUCUACAGUAUUUCAAGCUCCAAAUGAGUGAUGCUUAGAACUCAACUCCAGUCUAUCAAACCAUGGACAAGAUUAUACUUACAAAUCAGUUAUAGUCUUUCAAGCUCCACACGAAAUUAUUCUCACAAGCCAGUUAUGAUCUUACGAGUAUUUUGGUUUCAAACAAUAUGAUGCUCACAAAAUUAGCAGUGGUUUGUCAAGUUUCAAAUGAAAUGAUGUUCAUAACUUAAUUUCAACCUUUGAAGUUUCAAAUGAGAUAAUGCCUAACACUCAACUCCGGUCUUUCAAGCUCCAAAUGAGUGAUGCUUAGAACCCGGCUCAGGUCUCUCAAAAUAUAGACAAAUUUCAUAUAACAAGCUUUAGAUAAGAUAAUGAUUAGAUGUUCGACGUACAAAAGUCAAAUGUGAUAUUUCAAACCACAAACAAGAUGAUGCUCAAAGUCUUGUAAGAUUCGAGAUGACGUUCAUAUAUAAGAUGUGAUCUUAAAUUUUGUUUAUCAAUUUAUAAAAAUUAUACUCCUAUAAAAUUAGUAAAUCUUUCCUACACAUUAUAAAUAAAAAAUACGAUGUGUCAAUCCUUCAUCAUAUCAUAUGUCAAAUAUACCUAAUUUUUUUCUUCUUAUUUUUCUAAAUCUCCAACCUCACAUCAACUUUUUAUGAAAUUUCAUCAAAUAAAAAUUUAUAAAAAAANUUUCAAACCACAAACAAGAUUAUGCUCAAAGUCUUGUAAGAUUCGAGAUGACGUUCAUAUAUAAGAUGUCAUCUUUAAUUUUGUUUAUCAAUUUAUAAAAAUUAUACUCCUAUAAAAUUAGUAAAUCUUUCCUAUACAUUAUAAAUAAAAAAUACGAUGUGUCAAUCCUUCAUCAUAUCCUAUGUCAAAUAUACCUAAUUUUUUUUCUUCUUAUUUUUCUAAAUCUCCAACCUCACAUCAACUUUUUAUGAAAUUUCAUCAAAUAAAAAUUUAUAAAAAAAGACAAUCUAUUUUAACUCUCACCAAAAAUUAACUGACAAAAAUUAUUGACUAUCAUAUGCUAUAAUAAAAAAUAAUACUCCCUCCGUCCCUAAAAUAAGUUCUUCUUUUUCCUUUUUGGGACGUCCCAUAAAUAAAUUCCUCUUUCUUUCUUUCCAUUUUUGGACAACUACCCCACCACUAAUAAUACUUUAUUUAUUCUUACUUUUCACUUAUUCACCACUCCCAAUACUAAUUAUACCACUUUUUCACCUUUUCACCACUCUCAAUACUAGGGCUGUCUAAAUGGUUAUCGGGUUUUGGGUAUCCAAUUAACCGAACCGAAAUUCCCGGGUUUGGGUAUCCAAUAACCGAAAAUUUCGGGUAAUCGGUUAUUAUUUUUUUGGAAAUUUCGGUUAUCGGUUAACCCGAAAAAUCGAUCGGGUUAACCGAAUAACUGAAAUUAUUUUAUUAAUUAUUUAAUAUAUAUAUUAUCAAUAUAUCAUAUAUAAUAUAUUAUAUAUUUGUAAAUUAAUAUAUAAAUAUAUUUGUAAAUUAUUUAAUAUAUAUAUAUAUUUGUAAAUUAUUAUAUAUAUAUAUAUAUUAUAUAUAAUAUAUUUGUAAAUUAUAUUUGUAAAUUUACAUAUAUAUUAUAUAUUUGUAAAUUUACAUAUAUAUUAUAUAUUUACAAAUAUAUUAUAUUUGUAAAUUUACAUAUAUAUUAUAAUAUAUUUACAAAUAUAUUAUAUAUUUGUAAAUAUAUAUUAUAUAUUUGUAAAUUUACAUAUAUAUUAUAUAUUUGGAAAUUAUUUAAUAUAUAUAAUAUAUAUUUGUAAAUAUAUAUUAUAUAUUUGUAAUUUAUUUUAGAGUAGAUAGAGCAAAAAUUAUUUGAAUUUUAUUUUUUAAAUGGGUAUUUCGGAUACCCAAAUAACCCAAUUGGUUAACCGAAGCGGGUAUUGGGUAACUGAACUUCUAAAAUGGUUCGGGAACGGUUAUUGAAAUUUGGCAAUUUCGGGUUCGGGUAACCGAAAAUUCGGGUACGGGUAACCGAACCCGAACCGAUCGACAGCCCUACUCAAUACUAAUUAUAACAUAUUUUUCUCUACUAUCAAUACACUUUACAAUUUUUUCUUAAACCGUCUCCAAAGAGAAACUUAUUUUGGGGACGGAGGGAGUAUACAAUAAUAGUUACUCCCUCUGUCCCUAAAAUUUGUGGACCAAAAGAGAUGGCAUGAGUUUUAAGAUAAAGUAUGAUAGUUAUGUUUAAAUAGAGAUUGAGUUCCACACUUUUUUAUAAAUAAUGAGAGGAAAAUUUUGUGGGGUCAUUUCCAAAUAAAAAAAGACCACAUUUUUCAAGGGCGUCUCAAUAUAAUAAUAAAACCACAAUUUUUAAGAACGAAGAAAAUACAGUAUAAAGUGGUUCCCCGUCGAAUUUCGACGGGUUAAUAUUUUUAUUAAGUGACCUGCAGCGGUGGUGGUGUGUAAAUUUUUUAAAUUAAAUUGGUAAAGCAUAAAAAAGUUUCAAUGUGACCAAGAGAAAGAAGUACAUAUUUAAAUAUUUAAUAGAUGCAAUUAAGAUAAAGAUAAUAGAUGAGAAAUAUUUGAAAAAUAGGAUCUUUGAAUUUCUUAUUUUUAUAAAGUAAUUCAUCUUUUUUUAAAUAAUUAAAUCUUAUAGUUAAUACCAAUAUAAAAAUAAAAUUAAAUGAAUUAAAAAUCAGCCAAAAGGCAAUUCUCGACAAACGUGCAACUAUAGUUUGAAAAAGUAACUAAGGUAGAGCCAAUUUCUUUAUUAAAUAAAAUGUUUUAUUGAAAUUAAAAAUAUUUGCCACAUGGCAAGAUCUCAACGGCGAGCUGCAUUAAAGCAGUGGCACGAUAGAAGCACCCCAUUGGGGGAAGUAAUAUAGUACUCCAUACUUCAUCUAAAAAGACAAGACAAAAGUCAUACCGCAUGGGCCCAUACCCCACCUUUGAUUGCGAAGGUACUUUUUGGUUAGGAUUUUUGAUGGAAUAUUAACAAAUCUAAAUAUUUUAUUAUUUAAAGCUUAAUUAACAAUCAAAUUAAUCAAUAUAAACAUGAAUAAUCAAAUUAGUUCAGCAAGUGAUACGGAGCCACCUUUGGGCCUCCUAAUUUUUUUUUUUAAUUUUGUAAAAAAAAAUUAGUAAUGUUAUUUUAUUAUAUAUACAGUAUAAGUACAUAAAGUAGGAGGAUUUGUUGUUAAAAAAUUCCACAUAAAAUUUAUAUGUAUUUCAGAUUUUUUUUAAUCUAUAUUUAUAUGUAAUAAUUUUAUAUUUCAAAUAUUAUUUUUGAAAAAAUUCACAUAUAUAUAUACUUCAAUUUGAAUUUUUUAAAUAAAUAAAGUAAUCCACAUCAAUUACUCAAUAAAGAACUUGACUCUAAAAACACAUAAAUUUUUAAUUUUAUAUAAAAUGUAAUGAUAACUAUUGUUAUUAAACAAUUUAAAUAUUUUAUAAACAAUAGUAAAAUUAUAUUUAAAUGUUAACCAGAUAUAAUACUUAGGUGUUAUAUUUAUAUGUUCAAUAUUUACGUGACUUCAAAUCACUUAGUUUUUAUGAAAAAUAUGUAUUGUAAAGAUUUUCAUAAUGGCAUAUAACAUAGUUGAGUUAUGAUUUUUUUUUUUUCUAAAGUGUCAUUUUUAAUUUUUCUCCUAUAUGAAGAAAACCUUUUUUUUUCAUAAAUAAUAGAAGAAACACAUCAUUAAUGUUGAAGGGGAUGAGUAAAAACAUGUUCACAUUAAAAUAUGUCAUUUUAAAAAAAUUGAGCUAAUCGUGUAUAAAAUUAUUUUUUUUAAGACUAGCUCAUUAAUUAACUAUGUUUUCUUAUUAGUGAAGUUUAAAUUGGCCAGUAGGAAAACAAAUCAUAUUAUUACAACUUUUAAAAAUACUAAUAAAAAAUAAAGUAAGUGUUAUAUACCGAAAAAUGAACUCCAACAAAAUUAGAAUAAAAUAUUUAGAUUAAUUUAAGUGUUAUCCCGAAACAUAUAUACUUAUUUAAUUACGUAUAUAAUUUUAAUUUUUUCCUAAAAAAUCAAAUUUUAUAAAAUUUAAUUGAAUAUAAUUUUGAAUAUGUAAACGUAUAUUUAUCAUUAUUUGUGAAAUAUAAAAAUUAUUUGAUAAUGACGAUUAAUACAAAUUUUACUAUUAAAUAUAAUUUUUUUUAAAUUCUAAAGAUUUAUAAAAUGAACCAAUAUAAAACACAAAACUCAAUAUCUAAUUAUUUUCCUUUUGAAAAACACAAAAAUCAAAAGUACAUAAAAAUAUAAAAAAAACAAUAAAAUUUAUAAAUAACGAUUUUACUACUGUUCUCAUAACAAAAAUGUACAGCAAUACAUGUUAACUAUCCACAUGUAUCUAUAUAUAUAAAUAUAAUUUAUCAAAAUAAUUGAUUAUCUGUCUCAAUGGAGACUCGAAAAUUACAUAUCAAAUAUUUUAUUAACUAAAGUGCACGAUUUUUAGGAAAGAAAAAAAAGAUAAUAAAAAGAAAAGAAAGGGAAAAAAUUGUUAAAUGAAAAGAAAGAGAGUAUUUGAUUUGAUUUAUAUUGUAAACUUCACAUUAUACAUUUUUUCAAAAGGAAUAUGCAUUCAAAUACAUAUUAGCAAGAAGUAAUUGUCGGUACCAUCUAAAAAACAUAAUUUAUGACCAUUUUUAUAAUUUUGGUCAAAAAUAUCCUUGACCCCGCGGAUCCUACUCUCCCAGUCCAACCACGUACAGUGUUCUCUCUCUGUCUCUCUCCCCCCGCUCUUGGCACAAAUAGUAUAAUUAUGUCAAAUGUACCUAAUGAAUGACACAAUUGUCACGAAUUUACCCAUUUGUACCAAAUGUGUCAUCAUUCAAUCUUCAGUCACAUUUGACACAAAUGUGCAUAAUUGUGUCUAGUAUGUACUUAAUGAAUGCCACAAUUGGCCUGAAUUACCAUUUGUACCAACUGUACCAUCAUACUGCGUGCCCAACUCGAAGCCCAACCCACACGCAAACCCGAACGCGCUCCUAACUAAGGGCAAAACAGUCCUAAAACGUAAAAAUUGGUCAAAAUUUUUGUUUUUCAGAUGGGAGACCAAAUAUUGAGUUUCAUUGUUCAAUAUGACCAUCUCACAAGUUUACUCUUUUCAAAAUUGACAUUGAAAUUAAUUUCAAAUUAAAAUCUUGACUUUUUAAUAUAUUAUACUAGAAUUGAAGGUUUUAUCGUAUAUUAUAUUUUAUAUUUUUUUUUCCUCUUUCUUAUGUAUCCAUGAAUUGCAUAUUUUUAUAUUUAUUUUAUUUUUGUUCAUCUUUUUAUUAUUUUUUCUUUUUAAACUUGUGAAAUUCGCCCAAUUUUAAUAUAUUUGAUAUCAUAUCAAAUUAAAGAUUAAAGUUCACGACAAGAAAUUUAAUUUGAUAUAUUUUAUGUAGAUAAUGAAUUUAAGAUUUAAAUACAUGAGGACUAGUUUUUUAUGGAAACUUUUUUGCAGAUGUAUCAAACUUCAAACCUUUGCAAAAUAACAAAAGUCAUACCCCAUACCCCAUACCCCACACCCCACACCUUUGAUUGCGAAGAUACCUUUUUCUUUAGUUUUUUGGGAAACCAUCUUCACUCCAUUUUAGCAUUUUUCUUUUUUUGACUUUUAGCUAUGAUUUGAGAAAACCGUUAACAAUAGAUUCGAGGGCGGUUAAUUAGGAAGAUUAGUUUUGAUAGAUAAAAAAAGUAAAAUUCAUUCUAUUAUUUACUUUGAUGGAUUAUAAUUUUGAAAUAUCCCAAGACCUUAAUUUGAUUAUUUCUAUUAUUCAAAUUAUUUUUAUUUGAUUCAUUUUUCAUAAAAAUAGUUAAUCAUUCACAUAAUCAAUACAUGCUAAAGUUGGCCCAUAAAAUUCAGGUUCAUUUGAAUCCCGCGCAUGACAAAUGAAAAUUUAAAAUGCCUAAUUCUUUCUUUAUUUUUAUUAAUUGAGUUAAUUUUUCUUUAUUUUUAUUUUGUUAACAUAAUUUAUUCUUUCUUACAUUUAAGAAAAUUGGCUUAUUUCCCUCCAAAAAAAGAAAAAAAGAAAAUUGACUGAUUUUAAAAUAUCCAACACACCUAUAAAUUAAAGAUCUUGUUGAAGAUGUCAGAGGAGAGAGACUGUGUUAUCGUUAGGAACUUAGGAUUGAAAACUUGCUUCAUCAUUUGUCUAUACUUCUUUCACUCCCAAUGCCUAUCGAAGCUAAAGUAGAUCAACAUCUAAGGCUGGAGGAAAACAACUUUAAUUUGGUGUUGCACUCAAACAAAGUAAUUUUUCCAAGAACUUUCCUACAAGAGAACUCAAUUUUUUUUAAUCAAUAGUUCAUUUUUAGGGUGUGCUCAAUUUGAUAGAUAAAUUUAUCAUGGGAAAAUAAAGUAUAACAAAAAUUUAUGUCUUUAAAAAGUCUUUUUUUUUUUUUCAGAAGUUCACCAUUUUUUCUUUCUUAUUUUCACUUCAAAGAGAGACAACAUUAUCUCUCGAUCUUGGUGUGGUAAUAUUAUCCAUUUUAAAGUGAAAAUAAGGAAGAAAAGGUAGAGAACUUGAUCUCUUUUGUGUAAAAUAUGGGAAAAGAAAUGAGACAUUUAAAAUUAUAAAUUUUGGUCAUUAAUUCUUUAUUUUUCCAUGAUAAAUUUAUCCAUGUGAACGUACCCUUAGGGUUAAUUAAUUCAUCGUAACUAAAUUCCAUUCCUAGCGGUAAGAGGGGAUUUAGGCCAUAUAUAUAUGCACUUGUAGGAAACCAACAUGAAAUUUCCAUUUCUUAAUUUGCCAAUGCCGACUAGUAGGAAAGCAACAUGAAAUUUCCAUUUCUUAAUUUGCCAAUGCCGAUUUACAAUUUUUUUUUUCUUUUUCUCUAAUAAAAAGAAAUUAAAAUAGGAUGAAAUAGAACUAUAAAUAUACAAUUAAUCGAAGAAAUUAAUCAAAACCAAGUCUGUCUUUUCCUUCAUCCAUCAUGUUUCCGCACAUCUCUCUCCACAAUUCCGCCCCUUUGAAGUUGCUGAUUUUCUCUCUCAUCCUCUCUUCCUCUCUCACCAAAACUACCUCCGUCGCCGCCGUGCCGGGCUGCCAUGGAAAGUGCCUCGACUCCAACAUCCCUUACCUGUUGGGGAUGUUCGUGCUGGUUUCCCUCGUAAUUGGGAGCACUUGGAUCGUCUGGUCGAAGCGGCAAAAGAAGCUCGAGCACCAUAGAAUGAGCUUGUUCGAUAGAAAUGGCGGAAACAUAUUGAAGAAGAAGCUAUCCCAGCGCAAGAGAUCUGCGCACCUCAAAAUAUACACAGCUCGGGAAAUGGAGAUCGCCACCAACAAUUACAGCGACACCAGAUCGGUAAUGCAGAGGUGCAAGCCGGGGAAAUUCUACCGCGGAACCUUCGAGAACAAUCGAGAGGCCGUCGUGAUGAAGCUUCCGUCGCCGGUGCCGCAGUCGAGAAUCGAACAGUUCGUCGACGAGGUGAUCUUCCUCUCCGAGGCCCACGGGAAUCUGGUUAGGGUUUUGGGCUGCUGUUUGGAGACGAGCUCUCCCUUGGUAGUUUACGAGCUCCACGGCGACGGCAACCGCACCCUCGCCGACUGCUGCACGCGCGGCGGCGCGUGCGCUGGCAUCCUCCGGGCGGCGGUGAGGGGGCUCGCCGACCUGCGGUCGCGGAAUGCGAGGGCGGCGGGGUUCCUCCACGGCAACUUCUGCGGCGGCAACGUUUUGUUGGAUGAUUCUUUUGAUGCGAAGCUGUUCUACGCCGCCGCCUCCGGCAACCUCGUCGCUGAUCGAGAUCGUGUUGGUUUCGAUGACAAGGACGUGUGUAGCUUCGGAGCAGUGCUGGAUGAGCUGCUGUCGACGCGUCGGAGGGCGCCGGAGAGUGACGGGGAUCUCGCCACGUGGCUGCUGUCGGAAGAUUCGGAAGUAGUUUAUGUGAAGGAGGUUGCCGCCAUGGCUGCGAGAUGCAAGAGUGUGCUGCCGGAGGAGAGGCCUACCUUGUCUGAAUUGGAAGCUACGCUUAGUAGAUUGAUUGGAAAUUUAUAGAGCACAACUAGUUGCUAAUACGUUUCUGUUAUGCUAUUUUGUAGCCUUAAAUCAUAUUUGACUAUUUGUAAGCAUUGAUUCCAUCGUGUACAGUUUUAAAUAGAGAAUCAGAUCUGAUCAAUGAAAAACAGUUUCCAUUUCCACUUUUCAUAUUCUUAUUCUCUCAUGGCUACUGUUCAGCCAUAUUUCCCCUCGAUCCACCUAAAGAUUUGAGGAUGUGCUUCUUCUCCCAAUAUCGCUCCGCUGCAAUUCAAAAUUCGGACUUUGAUAUGGCUACGUUAUGAUCAAUUUAUUUUCAGUUGGAUUCUUGCUGCGAUCUCUCAUUCAAUGAUCGGAUAAAAAUAAUUUGAAUAAUAGAAAUAAUCAAAUUCAAAUUCAACUCCAGACGCUAGUGAUGAUUAUAUUUUGAAAUUUCGAGGCAUUUCUGAUCAGUUAUCCAAUAUUGGUCAACAAAUUGCAGAAACUGAUUUUUAAAUACCCAUGUCCCAAAGAAAUAAGACAUUUAUAAUUGAAGUAAUAUUUUAUUUUAAAAUAAAUAUUAAUUCAAUAAAGAAACUAAUAUUAGGAGACAAAUGAUUGGACAAAGAGUUGGGACAUCUGAUUCUAACGAUAGGACAAUAAAGAAACUAAUAUUAGGAGACAAAUGAUAGGACAAAGAGUCGGGACAUCUGAUUCUAACGAGUUUCCUGAGGGUUAUAGGGUUUAGGAGUGAGAGGAUUUUUUAGGACAGUAACUUAUGUUAAUUUGGAAAUUAGGACAAAAACUUUUUGACUUGUAAAAUUUUUUUAGAGUAAAAUAAGACACUAAUUAAUAAGCGUCGUAAAAAUAAGACAUUUCUCGGCCGAGAAUUGGUCUGACAAAUGUCCUGCGGGUGCAACACUUAUUAAUUAGUGUCAUAUUUUACUCUAAAAAAAUUAGUGUCCUAUUUUUAUAAGUCCGAAUGUUUUUGUCCUAAUUUUCAAAUCAACCUAAGUUACUGUCCUAAAAAACUCUCGAACUCCUAGGGUUUAGUACAGUACGUAUAAAAGUAUAAUAGCACAUCUAUUAUUAUUUUUAGGGGUAUUAGCCUAUAAAUAUCCGAACUUUUUCUAUUUUCUGAUUUUGCACCCUAACUUUAAAAUUUGCCUGAAAAUACCCGAACUUUAUAUUCUUUCUGAUUUUGCACCCAACGAAUUUUCACCCCCAAAUCGUUAAUAAAAUGGCAGUCGGAUUGAGAGGCAAGUUUGAAUUUCAUAACGAAACAAAUAAGUUUAUUGUCAAUUUGAGAUCUAAAACAUGUAAUUGUAGAUUUGAGAUGUCAAUCCGGCUAUCAUGUUAGCAACAAUUUCGAGGUAAAAUUCGUUGGGUGCAAAAUAAAAAAGAAUACAAUGUUCGAGUAUUUACAGAAAAUUUUUAAAGUUCGGAUGCAAAAUAAGAAAAUGGAAAAAGUUCGGGUAUUUAUAGACCAAUACCCUUUAUUUUUAUAUGAAAGGCGAUGGUAAAAAGAAUUACUAGUAACUACUCCCUCCGUCCCACUCCAAUAUGCUCGUUUUCCUUUUUGGGACGUCUCACUCCAAUAGGCCUAGUCUAAAAUUAGAAAUAAUUAGGGCUCUAAUUAAAAUUAUAACUAGUUACUUAAAGGGGAUAUACACCCCUAAUUAAAACCCUAAAAACUCUCAUUCACGUUUUCCUCCCACCUCUGCUCAAAAUUCUUUGUCGCCACUUCCCAAAAUUUGGCGACUGGUCGCGCCUCAACGGCUCUGAAACUCCGGCCUCUUUUCUCAUUCGGCCCUCUUCCCGAUUCUCCAGAAAUUGCCCACCGGAACAAGCCCUAACUCUAGUAACCUCAAGUGGAACUCAAUUUGGAGCCCUAACUCUCCCCUCUUCCUCAAUCUCAACGGAAACACACAAUUGUGGGAAAAAUGUCGAGCCCCAACUUCUCCGAUCGAGCCUCUCUCUUUCUUCCUCUUGGUUCAGGCAAAGUCGCCUCUGUAACUUCGGACGAAGUCGACGCCGCUCUUCGGCCUGUGAAAUUGUGAAAUUCGCCUCAAUAAUUUAACCUCUUAUUUUUCUAUUUUAUUUCUUUUUUAAAAUUGUGAAAUUCGACUAAUUAUAAAAUAUUUGAUAUGUAUAUCAAAUUAAAGAUCAUGACAAGAGCUUUAACUUGGUAUAAGUUAUGUAAAUAUUGGAUUUAAAAUAUAAAAAUUAUAUUUAUUUAAAAAUUAAAACUUAAGAAAUUUCUCCCCUCCUCCUCCUCCUCUUUUUUUUUUGAAUAAUCUAUUUUUUUUCAAUUUUUUAACUUAUAUUUUUUCUUUUUUACAAUAUCAAUUUUUAUAAUAUGAAUUAUUCUUUAUUAUUUUUAUAUUAAACUAAAUUAUUAUCUUAAAUUAUAGUAUUUUUAAUUAUAUUUAGAUUUUAUAUAAUAAUCAAAUUAAUAUAAAUUUUAAAUAUAAUAAAAUAUAAAAAUAUUUUUCGUGCGUUGCACGAGUGUAAAUGCUAGUUAAUAUAUAUUUUAAAAUUUGAAUUGAUAUAAAAGUAAAUCCAGCAGCCAAAAGGAGUGAAGUGAUCCAAGCUAAUUCGAAAAUCGAUUCGAGAGAAAUGCGAACUUAAUUUCGAAAUACUCGAAGUAAAUCUGAAAAUUUAUCGAAUCGAGCUCGAACUCAAGAUCAAACUAUAUUUGACAUUUGAAAAAUAAGGAGGCACGAUAGAACAUACAACACCAUGUAAUUAAUUAUUUGGUACACGAAUUUAUUUAAUUAAACGCUUAGAGCAUUACUAUAUAACAAUAACAAGAUCAAUGAGAAAGCCUCCGUCAAAAGAAACAUCUCAACAAACUCAUCCAGCAAAAAAUGCAAUAAAAUUGUUUUAAAAAUGGAUAAUUUUCCAAAAAUUCAUCAUCUUUGAGACAACUUUGUUGACACUAUAUUUAAAAACAUUCCAAUAAUAAAAACAAAAUAAAAAAAGCCAAUAUUCAUUAGUAUUUAUUAAGAUUAAGAUAUACAUGCAAGCUAAAACACACAACAUGUUAAUUUACAUUGCAGAUAAGAGCAACCAUUUCUUGUAAGAAAGCAUAGAAACAACUGUAUGAAAAAUGGUUAGUAUGAGAAGCACAGCAGCUGAUAUCUUCAAGUAAUUCCUCCUCACUCUUGCCAUCCAUCUCCCACGUCGAAGCCGUUUGCAUCUGUUCAAACUCUCAAACACAUUUGAAUAGCAAAAAUCUGAUGAUGAACCACAACAUUCUUCCCCAAUCUGUUGAACAUGCUGCAGAUCAUCUCAUCACUGCCUAUGAAGUUGCUGAUGACCCCACUUCGUCGUAGUAUCUCAACAUCUUUGGUGGAUCUGAUGAAACAAUGUAUGAAAAACAAGUAAUCUUUCACAUACCUCGGAUGAUCAUCAGGGAAGAAGCAGAGCUCGUACGCGAUCAAGUUCCUCAACAUGGACUCAGUCUUAUCUGAUAUGCACAAUGUGGGAGUUUAUGACUCCAUUGGCAAAACUGAUAUCCUU
RNAcentral lists this long non-coding RNA (86459 nucleotides) under Salvia miltiorrhiza (redroot sage). Its description in RNAcentral is "long non-coding RNA (SMIL_LNC007104)". Lineage: Eukaryota; Viridiplantae; Streptophyta; Magnoliopsida; Lamiales; Lamiaceae. The record is from RNAcentral.